Molecule: long non-coding RNA, 61595 nt
Filed under: Ananas comosus (pineapple)
Lineage: Eukaryota; Viridiplantae; Streptophyta; Magnoliopsida; Poales; Bromeliaceae
Description: long non-coding RNA (ACOM_LNC015986)
Source: RNAcentral
CAAGUUUAACGGUGUAGAAAUAUCCAAAUCACGUGAAAUUUUGAUAGAAAAUUCUUUAUACUAUAUAAAACAAGAUCAAUAUCUUUGAUUUAAAAUUUUAAUGUCAUAUUAUUACAUUUUGUAAGAUUUUUAUUUUCAGCCGUUGAUUUUGAGCCCCUUUGUUCACUAGGCAAAUGAUAUCGUAAAAUUAUAAAAUUUAUUUUCUAGGUACUUCAAAUACUCUAGAUCAAGUUUAACGGAGCCGAUCGAUGAUUCGAAAGUCGCAACAUCGAAAACGAGCUGGAAGCACGGAAGGUUCCAUACUUCCGAUAGUAUAGUAUCUAUAAUAUAUAAGUACGAGUGCUCCAAUACUCAUAAUAGUAUAGUAAUCACGGCCUAUAUAUAUAUAUAUAUAUUGUAUUAUCUUUUAUCAAACUGUGAUUAAUUUUUUUUGUACUCAUAUUUAUUCAUAUUUUUGUAACACAAAAAUAUAUUGAAAACGAACGAAUUUCUUUAGAAACAAAUUUGAUAAGUUAAGUUUUGUAUAAAGUUACUUGUUAUUUUGUUCCUUUGCAGGAAGUCCUAUGCAAUUAUUUCUUUCAUAUAUCACAAUAAAUUUUAAUGGUCAACCCUUUAGAAAUUAGACUUUUAUAUAAUCUAACGAAUGAGAAUCUACAAGUUUUUGUAAAUUUAUUAGUAAUAUAUCAAUAAGUAACCGUAGGGUAGGUGCAGCAUAUAAAAUGUAUUUGUACAUUCGGCAGCGUCGUGCGUUUUGGAUUUGUUGGUUUUAUAAUAACAUAGAGAAAAUCUUUUGUUUGAUUUAGUAGGUAAACCAUACAUAUUAAAUUUGGCCUAUUUGAUCGAUAUUAUUACUAAUAUUCAAUGAAUCUUAAUGUCACGAGAUGAUUUCACUCAUUUUCAUACUGAGCAAAUAACAACAUAUGUACCUAUUAUCUCGAGCCCAAGUGCAAAGUAUUUAGUGGUUGGUAUUCAAAGUCUGAAGUUUGAAUCCUAGUUGAUUCACAUCUUCAGCUAAAUUUAUUUCUAAAACAGAUAAAGCGGAUAAUAUACUAUCUUUCUCUCUCUAAAAAAAAGUGUUAUUAACUUAUUUACUAGUGUCGAAUCAAUUCAAUUGAAUUUGGUCGAAUUUAAUUAAUAUGUUAAUUUCAUACAGGUCCUUGGAAAUAUAGUGAAUUACAAAUAUAUCUCUAUAAACUUUAAUUUUUAGGAAAAACUUCAAAAAACCCCAUGUGGUUUCGCACUUUUUCGUUUUAGUGCCAUGUGGUUUAAAAUGUAUCAAGUUAGUACCCUGUGAUUUCGCACUUUCUCACUUUAGUACCUUGUGGUUUGAAGUGUAUCAAGUUAGUACUUUGUGGUUUUAUUUUUAUAUCAAGUUAGUACCCUGUGGUUUUAUUUUUGUAUCAAAUUAAUACUCCGUGGUUUUAUUUUUCUUUUAAUGAAAUCUUAAACCACAGGGUACUAAAGUGAGAAAGUGCGAAACCACAGAGUACUAACUUGAUACACUUUAAACCACAGGGUACUAAAGUGAGAAAGUGCAAAACCACAGGGUACUACUACUAACUUGAUACACUUAAACCAUAGGAUACUAAAGUGAGAAAAAGUGAAACCACAAGAGGGUAUUUGAAGUUUUCCCUAAUUUUUAUAUGUUGUUCUUAUAAAAGUCCUAAUAUUUUUAAAUAUAUCUCUCUGAUUUGUUACUAUUAAAAACUGUUUAUUUUAUAAGUGAAAUAAUCUUUUUGCCAUCACAAAUAUAUCCCUUCAAAAGUCCCAACUGUUAAUUGAAAAAAGGUGAAAAUGUCAAUCCACCUCAUUAACUAACUAAGGUUAAAUAUUUUAUCUAUGAUUAACUAUUUUUUUCUAAUGGAUCCUAACGGCAGAGAUAUAUUUAAAAACAUCAAGACUUUUGCAGAGACAAUAUGUGAAAAUUGAACUUUGUAGGGAUAUAUUUGCAAUUUAUGAUGUUUGCAAGGAUUUGUAUGAAAUUAACCUUUAAUUAAUCAACAAUAAAAAAAUCAGCAAAUUUUAUUAUCAACUCCAAUUAAACUUUGCCACCUGGCAUAAAAAAUAAAUAAAUGAUUUUUGUUCUCUCAUAUCUUUAUAAUUUAAAAUUACUAUAUUAUUUUUUAUUUGAUAUUUGUAAACUCUCAACCUAGCUCAUGUUCGGGUCAUUUAAUAAACUAGCAAACAUUAGCCUGCUCCAUGUUGCUCGUGUUCAGCUCUUUUAUAGCCCUAAGCCAUGUAUGGAAAGAAUGCAUGCAGCUAUGAAGCCACAAAUUGAAAUAAUCCCAUAUUUGGAUAUUAACAUUUCAAAGAGUUCGCGGUACCAUAUUCGACACCUUUCUUAACUUUUGAAUUCCAAAUAUUUUGAUAGAAUAAAAAAAAAUCGUGUCUGGACUCGAAAUAUUUUGAUGGAUAUAUUGAAUAAUUAACUGAAAAAAAAACAAAAUAAAAAUAAAGGGUCUGCUAGAACUUUGAUUUCUGAACCUCAUGCUCAUAUGCUUCAUAAAAUUAUGUAAUACAAUCAUUUUGUUUCAAAAGUUUUUUUUUUUUUUUUUUUUUUUUUUUGAAAAAUAGGUAGCAAGCUACCUGCUUCAUUCAUUAAGCAAAAUGAAUUAGGCGUACAAGAUGGAAGCAGCUACGGCCUCCGAAACGAGUGGGCAAAAAAAUAUAAAAAAAAAAACAAAAACAAAAGAAAAAUAGAAAAAUAAACGAAAAAUAAAAAUAAGAAAACUAAACAACAUGUCUGGACUCGAAAUAUUUUGAUGGAUAUAUUGAAUAAUUAACUGAAAAAAAAAAACAAAAUAAAAAUAAAGAGUCUACUAGAACUUUGAUUUCUGAACCUCAUGCUCAUAUGCUUCAUAAAAUUAUGUAAUACAAUCAUUUUGUUUCAAAAGUUUUAAUUAUCUAAUACGUGACAUGUGUUGCACGGUGAGCCCAAUUAUAAAGAUAACUACGCCCAAAUUGUGGCCCAGUGUCCCACAGGCCCAAAAACCAGAAAUAUUCUGGGUCCAUCGCACGGCCCAGUUUCUUUUACCUGGAAAUCAGAGGGAUAGAAAAGGGAGAUGGGCUCCCGAGGCUUUGGGCCUGGCAAGGCCCAUCUCAGGGCACGACGGCACGGGUCUCUAUUUGCGAAAGCACAAGCGGCUCAAAGACCGUGAGUCAGUUCCCCAGAUAACAGCCACUGAGCUAGGCCAACAGUUUUAUUCAGCUGUAUUAAUUUUAUAUCGGAAAGGUGAUAGAAAAGCAAUUUUUGAUAACUACGUGCGAAAGUAAUCGACAGAAACAUUGAGGCUAAAAAAUUCCAAGUACUGAUUGCAAGCUCUAAUCGUAAUUUCAUAGAUCCAAUGUCGUUCUGAUCUAAUAAUAAUAAUAAUCACUACAAUAGAAUUAGGUUUUAGGGACACAUGUUUGGGACACUUUUGAGUAAGUGUCCCAUUUAUGCUAAAAUUAAAAAAAACAUCUAUUAAUGCCAAAUAUAAAGUCCAAUCCAAUCAAAAAUAAAAGAUUACUCUGCUCAACCCACCAUACCCAGUCUAUUUGGCCCGAUUACAAACAGAAAAGAAAAAAAAAAAAAGAAAAAUCAAUUACCAUCUUUUCUUUUCUCUUCACUCAAUCCAUUGAAAUUCUAGACGAAGAGCCUUUCCUGUUGUCCUCUUCCGCUACCGUAGCCAACGAGAUAGAAUUUCGACGGUUGCUAAAUGCUUAAAUAAGUUUUGGUAAAUUAGCAGCACUCUUUUAAGUUAUAACGACACUCUUUAACUGUCACUAUAUACCUAGCGAUCUCACAUAUAGCAACACUUUUUAAAAGUGUCGGUAAUUUUGACUAGCAGCACUUUUUGAUAUGUACCUAGAUUUAAAAGUGUCGCUAUAGACCGUUUUUAUUGUAGUGAAUACACUUAUGUAAGUUCGCCGUCGGUUUUAAAUUAUAUAUAUAUGCUUGAUAAAACUGGAUCACAUGCAUGAUCAUAUAACUCUGUACAAGAAGAUUUACCAAAAUUUGUGUAUGUACAUAAAUUUCGACAGCAGGAGCACCAAGCACAUACGCAAAAUACACAGAAGUUGAGAUACAUGCAUGGAAAUGUCAUUGUACUAUUUGUUAUGACUACUCUGUGAUUAUUGGUUACUAGAUUGACUUUGUUCAGUAACAUCGCAUCAUCGGAGCCAGGCUCGAGCCUCCUUCGGACCUGGGUUGAUUUUUGAUAUCCAUCACUCGACAACGCAUGUUAUUUCAUUUACUUUUGUUCUACUGUCUUUUUCAGUGCUUUUACUAUCAUCAUGCGUAGGAUGGUUCAUCUGAUCUCUAUUAUAUAUUUAUAAAAAAAUUUUGGUAUGGUAAAAAGAAAAUAAUAUAAAAAAUCCCUCUCCACAAUUACAGCCUUAAUCAUAGCUUAUGGUACGUAUAUUAACAGCUGUGUUGUACCUUACAUGCAUCAGAAACAUGCUCAAGCUUGAGGCCCUCAACAGAGCACAUAUCCUCUCAUAAGAUUCCUCUGCAAGCAUAUGAAACUAAUGCCUUAUAUUAAAGAUUACGGGCAUAAAAUCUGUAAGUGUGGGCACUAACAAAUGCCAUAGAAUUUAUUCCAUGUACCUAACUGGGGACCUGUAAGGGGUGAUGGCCCAGAGGAAGCAAAGCAAUCUCUAGCCUACACACUUGGUCCUUUCUUAAUGUCCUCAGCUGUUCUUAUGGCCACAGCUGGAACCAUGCUUUGGGUGCACAAAAAGCUCCCCCAUCAUUUCCCCAACCUUUGCUUUUGCUUUCGCGAAAACUUCAAAAUGCACAUUUUUAUACUGUAGUAUAGUAUAACAUAUUUGCAGCUUACUAUCCUUGCGGUUCUUUUAGCGUAUCAUUUUACUUUAUAUUGUUUUAAUUUUUGUUUCGUGUAAGGAGUGAUACUGUUCGUGCGUCAAAACUAUUAGUUCUGUAUUGGGUGUCAGUAGGAUUGCAGUUAAAAUCUCGCUCGGUACAUGAUGCCAAGGGAAUUUUUUUAUUUUUUAUUUUAAUGGGUAUGGAUAGGGAUUGAACAUUUGAACACAUGUAUCUUAAGGUGCCGAGGAGGCAUAUCAACAAAUCUCCCCUUUUUUAUUUGCCUUUAUUGUGAUCUUCAUGGGAGGAUGCACUAGAACUUUGAAUAGAUCAUGUCUAAAAAGGGAGCCUUUAUUGUGUACCAUGCUCUUUGUUCUCUUUACUCUUCCGUGGUCUAUUGGAACCAUGGUGCCUGUUUUUUUUUUUUUUUUUUUUUUUUUUUUUUUUUUUUUUUUUUUUUUCUUGGAUAAGGAUAGACCUGGCAAACAGGCGGGUUUCUUGGACAUGUUUAAAAUUUACUUACAAAUUUUUGGAUGGUCAACAUUUUUAUCCAUAUCCGCCCGCAGGUGGGCGGGUGGGUAUGCGGGUUACCCGUAAUUUUUCUUUUUUUGCUCUUAUAUUUUUUAAAUUUAAAACACAUAUAUAAAUUUUAAAAUCAUAAUAUAACUCAUUGUUUAAAAUAUCAUAGCAUACAAUAAAAAUAUUUAAAGUUUUAAAAUAAAAAUAUUUCAUAAUAUAAAAGACACGCAAUAAAAAAUUAGGAUUAGAAUUUUUAGGAUGGAUAAAUAAAAAAUAUAUUAAUUAAAAAAUAUAUUUUGUAAUUAAAAAAUAUAUGUGCGAGUACCAGUGCGUACAUAUAGGUUACCCAAAAUGCCCACUGCUUAAUAGGUACACAUCCGUUUUAUCUGUAAUUUUUUAAAUUGAAAAAAUCGGUACUCAUACCCGCAAAUUUAUGGGUAACCCGUGUGUAUCCGCAGAUUUGGGUCAAGAUUGCCAGGUCUUGAUAAGGACCAGGUUUUGAUAAGGACAAUGACACGGGACCAUGGCCUAGGCCUAGUAAUAGUUCUUAGACCUCACAUGAAUCCUAGAAUUUUGUUUGAGCUUUUUGUGUUAUAUUUUUCUUUUUUAAUAUACGAAAAACAAAAAUUACAGACAUUUAUAUCGAGAUAAAAUUCUAAAGGGCCCUGAUCAAAACCACAUAAAAAAGUCCUAAAUUAUGCAUCAUGUGUUCGCGAAUGCUAAAUCAUGCACUUAUAGUUGCUUACAAUUUGUGACAGUUUCUAAAAUAGUUGUCCUUAAAGUAUGCAUUUUAUAUAGUGUUGUGUUUUUUUAAAAAAAAAUACUCGUUCAAUAUUUCCAGACCAUUUUGGAAUGACGAUGUUUAAAUACACUGCCUUCGUAUUUUGGAGGGUUUAAAAAGUGGAAAGAGUAUUACAACUUCAUUCCACUAAUGAUAUAAAAUGAAAACAGAAGCUAUCACGUAAGAGGCAAAUUAUUAGAUGUGCCUCCAAAUUUAAUUAUCGAGUUUAAUUUUGUGCUCCUAAUUUGCUGACAGUUUUGUUGUACAAUAAAUUUUGAAUAAAUAUUUGUGAAAAAAAUAUAGAUGUCCGUAGUGGGUGGCAAAGACUCAAGCCCGUCGGCUCGAGCCUGUAACCUCGCGGUACGGAUCAGAUUCGAUAAUAAAGAAACCUGUUAAAAAAUGCCUUUCUUUUUUUGCUUUUGAGGCGAUACAGUGGAUUGUAACUCCACAAUAUUGUAUUGACUUUUUCAUAGUGAAUUUCUCUCCUUUUUUACCCUUGAUUUUUUUUUUCCUGAAUGUAAAUAUUUUUUUUGAGAGAAGAUUUUCUACGUAAAAUUUUGUGUUCUAUUUUAUUUACUGUUUUGUAAUUUGUUUACUGUAUGAUCACCGUCCUCUGUUUCUAUUUUGUACACUUGUCGUAAUAAAAGUGCUGCUCGCUACUCCCUCCGAUAGUUUCAUAACAUUGGGAUAGAGGGAGAUAGCAAAGCAUUUAUACAAUGUUUUAAUUUUGUAUUGUAGGCGAGUUUGUAAACACAAUUUCCACACCCUAAAGAUGUGUAUAGCGAAUUUUGCAGGUGAUCUCAACUCGAAAUGUGCUCGUUUUGCGCUUCCACAAUUUAAUGCCAAUUCCCAGGAAGAAACAGAUAUUUGUCAAUAUAUUAACUGUUUCAAAUUAAAUUCCUUGUUUAGAGAGAUAACCUCAUGUGCUAUAAUUAAUGAUAUAUAUUUUUUCUUUUUAUCUUCUUAAGCCCCACAAUAUAUCAGUGUAAUAUUAUUACACAAUUUCUGCUCAAAAAUAGUGUAAUGUCACAACCAGCUCAUACUAGCUAUCAUAUGACACUACAUAGAUUUUGUACAGUGAAAUAGGUCACUCAUGGAGCCCCACAUUUUCGUAAGUUCAAUUCUCCGCUUAUUAUGCACAAUUUGUUUAUAUCUGUUAAUUCUGAAUUUUACAUCACAAGUUACUUGAAGAGGACUAUAAAUUUACAUAUUCAUUCUUUAAAAAAGUUGAAUUAAUUCAAUGUGAGCACCAUUUUCAGAAGCAAACUAAGCUAUUCAUGUUAUAUUCAAAAGAAACUUCCAUUGCAUGAAAGGAACCAGUGUAAUUAGACACAAGAAAGGAAGAGAGAAAGAGAGGGGGCAAAAAAAGGAAGCAAAAAAACCAAUAAAAGAGAGAGAGAGAGAGAGUAAAUUAAAAGAACCUCUAUGUUUCCAUCUUUGGCAACUGCACUUAGCAACUAAACUUUGGAGACCUCCUCUUUUCAAAACCUACUUACUUUGCUUUCUUUUUUCUGAAAUUUAACUACAUGAACUUUUUCCCUCACAUUUCAAAUUGCCCAAGCCUAUUAUCAGACAACCUUGUUUUGUAUGCAGAUCUCUUGUACUCGCACCAUGUGAACUCCCUGUAGAGGCUCUGCUUCCCUUCUUCUAUCAACAGCGGCAAUGGCGCCAGCCUCUCUCUCGGCGACGGUCCCCCGAAGUAUAUCAUCGACACCCGCGAUUGCGCACUGUUUGCCAGAACCCGGUGUUUUACGCUCCUGAAUCUUCCAUUUGUCAGAACCUGUAGCCCAUAGAAUUAAAAAGCCAUUGGAUUAGUAUUAUUAUUCACACACCCACAGAAAAAGAGUAAACCUGUGUGCAGUUACUGCAUGUUACUGUGUGAUACUAACAUGCAUAUGCUUACUAGUAGUUGGAGGGUUUUGAACCACAUUCAUUUUCUAGUCCUCAGUGGACUAUGACUUAAAAGGAGACUUAUUUAGCAGCCACCAAAGUGUUGGUGUCUAAAUUGAUUCCAAUUCCCAAAUAUGAAUCCACGACUUGGCUUCAUAGACAAAGAUGUAUUCCAAGGUUCUAGAAGGAAAGGAAGGGUCAAAAGGAGUAAAUAAUACCUACAACAAGGUCUUAUCAUAAGAACAAAUAUUUAGAAAUAAUGGUUUUGAUACCUUUUACUUCUUCUAAUAGCAACCAUGGUGAAAUUAUUGUGAGAAGGGGCUCAAAAUCAGCUGCUUUUUUUACCUGCAAUGAAUCGCCAACAUUGAUGAAGAAAGAGCUUUGAUCAGGAGGAACAGAGACCCAACUCCCAUCCCUCAGUGAAAUCUCCAAUCCUGAGGUGUUGUUGGACCUCAGCAAAGAUAUAAUCUGGGGGUCAGUGUGUUCUCCAAACCCAGUCAAGCCACAAUCCAGGCCUUGAAGGUGUGGGCAUGGCGGGUAGUGGUUGAGCCGCAACAUCGAGUCGCUCUCCGAAUCCGUGACCAAUUUGCUGAACACAUUCUUUGGUUGAAUUUUCAGGCUCUCCGCCAUUAAUUCUAACACCUCACAAGCUAGUUUUCUCACAGCAGUGAUGUACUCAUUCAAGACCGAGCUGCGGCAAAAAGUUUAAAGUUAAAGUUUAAUCGUAAGAAACUAAUGGAAAUAGUUGGCUAGUGAUCUUCAUACUUUGUUUGAGCAAAAUUAACUAGUACAAUUUGGUGAUUCGAUUUAGCCAGAGAUCGAGACAGCGCAUGCAUGUAAUAUCGGAUGCGGGAAUUGAACUUUCAACGUUUUAUUAUCCAAAGAAUCGAUCAUAUAGAAAAUGUGUCAGACAUAGUUUUUUUUUUUUUUUUUUUUGGUUACUGAACAGAAGAAUAUAAGUGGAUUAUACCAAAAACCAAGCAUUUGUUCUGCGGAAACAGAGGAAGUAUAUGUAAUGAAAUGAUUCUUACCAGAACAAGCUUGCUGAGGGUUCCUUAAGAAAGGAUAAUGAGGAAUGAGAAAUAGGCUUUGAUGUGAUCUCCAAAAGGAUGUACUCCACCCAGCCCAGAUCACCAUUUCCCCCGAUUUUCUUACUCCCGUAGCCGAAAGGCCCUGGGGAAGAAGCAGAGAGCUCCUUCUCGACCUGUGGCAAUGAGAAGAACCUCAAUGCUUCGUCCUCCAACUUAGCCAUGAGCUCCAUUGGGAUCCCAUGGUUGGUCACCUUGAAGAACCCGAGCUCCUCGCACGCGCCGAUGAGCCGCGCUUUCGACUCGGGAUCGGAGAGGUCGAUGACCGGGACAUCGGAGAAGAAGUUGGUGGGUUUGUGCACCACUGGGAGAGAGAUUUGCUCUAGCUCUCCGUGCGCCAGCACCACCAUGGUUGUUGUUGAGGUAAAAGAAGGAAACAGGGGGAAAACAGGGGAAAAACAGAGGAAGGGGCUUGAUAUUGGUGGUGAAUGAGAGCAAAAGCGGUGCAUUGGAUGUGUAUUUAUAAAGAGAGAACCGCCUCGUAUGGAAAAAAGAGAGAAAAUAAAAUGAAGUGGGACAGAGAAAAACAGAGUGGUCUCUGAGCAGGGGUUUCAUACAAAAUGGAAAAAUUGAUGGUCCACUUCUUGUAGAGUAAAAAUCCACCUGUUUACAAGUGAGUGGUGGGGGUGUAUUUGUAAUAAAUGGAUUGUAAUCCAAGUAUCGUUCAAUUUUUUUAGGGUAUCUAUCUCAAUAUAGCUGUUGCGCCGUUCGUACAACACACACUCAUUAGCCUUUAAUUCUAUCUCAUAUUUGAUUCACAUUUUCGGCGCAAGUGGCAAAAUAACUUGAUGGUUGGUAUUCGAGACCCAAGUUCGAAUCCUAGUUGAUUCACAUUUCUAGCUAAAUUUAUUUUUUAAUAAAAUAAAUGAAGCAGGUAGCGUGCUAUCUAUCUCUAAAAAAAAAAAAAAAUUCUAUCUCAUAUUUGAAUCUAUAUAUAAAACUAAUGCGGCUUUCUUUUUCGUAUUUAAAAUUUUGGACUUGCUUAUUGAAAAUAUAAAUUGGGUGAAAAAUAAACAAAUUUAUGGUGUACUAUUUGACGCAAGCAAUAAUUUCCUCACAAAUUGUAUGCCUAAAAGGAAACACUUAUUAAAUAUUUCUUAAUGUUUGGAAUAGGUCAAGCGAAAAUCUAAAAUAAAAUACUAUUAAAAAUUUAGAAUAAGAAUACUAAUAUCUAAUGUAUCUGAUGGUUAUAGGGUUUGGAUUGCUUCGACCUGGAUCCGACCCAUUACAAUAAUCCGAACUAAUAAAUGCAAGAUUUAUUUCUUGUUUUGCAUUUUUUUAAAAUUGAACAAUACUAGGAUUACAAUCCAUUUAUUACUAGACCAUCCAAAGACCAAAUUUCAUUCACUAUUCAUAUUAACUUCUUUUAUUAUUAUUAUUUAUUAUAUUAAAAUUUUAAAAAUAAGGUUAUCUUUCCAACUACUUUUCGGUUGUAGCUAGCAUUUUUCUGAAAAAAUCUAAGAUAACAAAUCUCCGGCAACAAAGUUUGAGAACUCAAAGAUAACUUGAUCCAUAUAUGAAUGUGUAUUUAAUUAUAUCUGAUUAGACAUAUUGAUUUCGGCGAGUUCCUUCACUCGAACUCCUACUUCCAUUGUAUUAAAAAUUUUUAUCUUAUUGAAUCUUAUAGGUACAACUCUUGUCGGUACUAGUGCCAUUCUUCCGUCUUCUAUGCAAACAACUUUUGCCACCCCAAUGCCUCUACAAUCGCACAACGUCGAGCUCCCCCAUGGUCUUCUCAAGCUUUCAAGUCUUUCGUCGGGAUUACUGGCCUCGACUACUUUCUGCUUUACUGACUUUACCACCGACUCUUGUCAUGCCUCUUGACGCACUAUAGUAUUUUUUUUUUUUUUUUCUGUUACUUAUAUUAAUGAAAGUGAUAAGCAUUCGCAAUCUAUGAAUGUUGGGCUAAUAAAUGCACGCAACCAUCACUUUAGUAAUUCGCACCGUCAUUUCCUGAGAUUGAGAGGGAUUUUCUUCAUGUAGUGGAGGCACAAAGACUAAAUUGAGGGCUGCUGCUUCUUCUCAUCUAUAAGGGGAUGGGGACAUCUUGGCCCUGAGAGAAAUUAUUUCCUGCACCCGAUGCACCACGUCAGCUGUACAUAGGAUGCAUUAAUCUAUCUCUUUUUCUUUACUUUCAGGAUCGAUCUGUCCGACAUUCGAGGCUGCCUAAUAUUAUUAAGUCAAAAAGAGCCAGAAAAAAAGUUGAAAAUUAUGUUCGAAUUAAACAUGUGGGAAUCUGCAGAACAUGCCGUUGAGUCUGAUAAUUUUUACUUCUCAAGCAAGAAACACGAUGCGGUGCAUCGAGCCUAGGCAAUAGUUUCUCAUCCCUGGAUAUUUUUGCCUCCCCAUAUUCAAUUGGACGGCUAGUGGGCCUCAAGGAGUUGUUAGAUACACUAUUUAUUUAUAGUAAUGAUGAUAAGUAAUGCUAAUGCUUUUAGAUAAAUUUUAAUAUUUAUUUGUAACUUUAAUUUGCAUACGCCGCCGUAUUUACGAAUAGAUCAGUAUUAUCACCUGCUAAGUAAAACAUUUAACUAUUCAAUAUUAAGGCCGUAAAAAUGGACGUGAUUUAGAAAGUUAAUUAAGUAAAACUGUUUCAUAAGAGAAGUACGUACUUUUCAUGUUGACACUAGGGAUAAUUCACUAACUAUUGAUAAUCCACCACAAGAUACUUCAACUUGUCACCAAUCAUAAGUAAAAGGAGAAAUGAAGCAUUUGUAGAUUUUUUUUUUUAUUUUUCCUCCAAAUCAUGCUUGUAAUGGGGAAACAAUGGCUUAGGACAAGUAUUCCUCCAACACUUGUUAAGAUAUAUUAUAUUAAAUAUAAAAAGUUAGAUGGAUUCAAAAAAUUUAUUAUUUUCACACCGCGUAGCCUGCAUUAUCAAUCCUAAUUUUGUGAAUCUUAACAAGUGCGUAAAGCACCCGAGAAAGAACACAUAAAGAAACAUCGGUCGCAAUGUUCUUUUUCUUGUUUUCCUUUUUUCUGCGUACUUUUGGGAUCACCAAUAUGUGCGACACAGAUGUCGUACGAAAGAGCACAUCGAGUGCGCGAAAUAGCAGCAACCCUAGCCGCCGAUUAUAUUUAGGUGUGACACGCGAAGUCCAACUUGAUUACGAGCUUUAACUAACUCUACCGAAGAUAAUGUAGUCAAUGAUGAACAACAACAUCUUAAGCAUCCACCGAAAAUGGCAUUAAAAAUCGUGGCAUCCUAGCACUAUCGUGCCGAAAGAAGUACAAAUUGGCGUGUCGAAUUAGAAAUGCCCGCGUUCUAAGGAGUCGUGCUAAAUGCAUGCAUCUAAAUAUAUAAGUAGCAUUUCUAGAAGAAAAGUGACGCGCAUAUUUCUUUAAUGUUCGUAUUCGAACUCGUAAAGCAUUACCCUAUUAUUUUUCUAUUUUAGUUCGGCGGUGGCAUAUAUGUCUAUGUGCUCUGCAUUUAUUUGACUAAUUACGUGUGUAAAUAUAACUUUGAAUUGAACGACGAGAGAUAUCAAGGAGUGUUUUGGAUACAUUAACUUUGCUGGGUUUGGAAUUUACUAUAAACCAAACUUUGAUGAGCGCCAAUGAAACUAUCAUAUAUAUAGAGAGAUAGUUCACCUAAUAUAUACUGUAGAUAAUAAAUUAAUAUUAUUUACUAGCACCGACUAUAUAUAUUCCUAACGUGAGUGACAAAGGGUUUGAUGAUUGAUAUCCGAAGUCCCAAGUUUGAAUCCUAAUUAAUUCGCAUUUCUAAAUAAAAUAAACAAAGAUGAUAGCAUGCUGUCUAUCUCUCUCUCAAAAUAAAAAUAUUUACUAUCAACUUUUUUAUCCUUAGAUUAUUAUUAUUCCAGCAACUCUCACUAAAUUCGAAGCAUCUAAUAGUAAAAAAGUUGAUAAUAAAUAUUAUUUUCUAUACUAUCAAUAAUAUUUUGCCUCCGCCAUAUAUCUUUAUGUAUAGGUCGAUAUCUGAAGCACAUUAAUUUGUGGAUUUCGUACGUGCUUGGGACUAAUGAGACAUUUGGUUGGUGGGAGUGAGGUAAGGUUACAAUUAAGAAUCCCAGAUAUAACUCCUUUCAAGUUGAAGCAUCAUCACUCAUCACUUGUGAUAAUCUAUGUAAGAUAAUAUAAUCAAAGAAGGUAAAGUGUUCGGUAAUCUUUAUUAUGCAAAUUAUAUAUAAGUUACCUAUUCAUCAAGAACACGUGGAUGGUUCAUGAAAUAUAAAUUACAUGAAAAGUAUGAAAUCGGUUGGCACAAUUCUGAAUCGCUUCUUCGCUUUAGAAGUAAAUAAAAAGAUUGAACUUUACUAAUUUUAUGUUAUCUGCAUCUAAAAUUUUAUAGAAAAAAAAAAAUAAAAAAGAAAAACUAAUUAGACUAAUUAAAAGUCCCAUUCGGGCGUAAUGGCCCACCUUGACUUCGAGUCACAUUGAUGGAAUCUUUGAAUUUUUUUUCUAAUAAUUUUUUAAAUGAUUAUUCUUUUUUUCCCCAAAAAAUAUUAUAAAUUCCUGUCUCAAUUGCAGAUUCCUAUAAAAAUCACCCAGUAGUAAUGCAUGGAAAGGGCCCACGAUUGCAACAAGCACCGCAUGGAGGGUUAUUAAUUUUACCUGUAAAUAGUGCACCACGUAAGCCAUAGACUCUAUAAGAGAUCCCCACAUUCUUUUCUUGGUUAAAAGUUAUUUAAAAAUAAAAAAUAAAAAAUGGUUGUAUACUUAGACCGGUAUAAGAGUUUUAGUAGACUCUACAAAAAACGAUAAUCGUAAAAUAUUUUGACAUCAAUUUUGAAGGUUCAUUUGCUCUAAUAAAAAUCACAUAAUAAUCUCUAACUAUGAAUUGUAAUUCAAAUUAAAUUAAUCUUCAAUUCAACUUACAUAAAAAGUUAAUCAAAAUGAUUAAUAUGAAAAAAUGAUUGAGAAAAAUAAUAAAGAUUGAAGGGCCUUUUUCAAAUAUAGCAUGUACUUGAGUAGCUUGAUAUUUUUAACUAUUAAUUUUUGUAAACUAGUAAUUAUGAAAAGAAUAACAUCUGUGCUUUAGUCUAGAUUUUUUUAAAAAAAUAAGUUUAGAUCUUUAUUAUCAGAACCUUCAUUAGCUAGUCACUUAUAUUAAUUUUUAAUAAAAUAAAAACUAAAUUAUUUAAUUUUUGAACGCGCACGUGGGAAUCGAACUCUUAAUCAUUUGAUUAAUUGUGUAGAUGGUCAUGAUAUGUGAUUCAAUGUGAUCAUAAUUUUAUAAAUUUUACUGGUCUCUAUAAUUCCAAGCUAAAUUUAUACAAUAGAUAAAAUAAAUGAUUGUUAUUCUUACAACGUAAAAACGAAAAAGUAGAAAUUUCAUAAAAAAAAAAAAAGUAAGGUACCAUCUAAAACGGUGGUCCAUAGCUGACGUGGCUGUAAAGGCAAAGGUAAAGGUACACGCGGUCCACAAUAAUUGACGUCGGCAACCUAUCCCAACAGAGAUCGUGCCUUGGAAAAAUUCUAGAAUGCAAUUCGGGUAUAUUGAUGACGUGGCAUAAUAAAUCAAUCAAAUAUUUUUUUUAGAGAUAUAUGUUUCGUUAUGAUUAUAAAAAAAUAUUUUUAUGAUACUUUUGUUUGAAAAGAAGAAAUAUAAUUGGUUUGUUACUAAUGACGUGGUGCAAGCGUGACAUUGUAGAAUUUCUCGUCCGUUGGGCCCUUUUAACUGACGUGAUGUUAUCAAAGGGACUCACCGGGAAAAAUAAUUAGGAGCUGUUUAGUUGCAGUAAUUACAUAAUCAAAUUCAUUGUUUGGUCUAGCGUAGUUAAGUCUAAUUAUUACAGAUAAAAAUAUACAUCGAGAUUCAAAUACUAUAGCUGGAACUAUAUUCAAAUUAACUAUAGUUACAACUGCAGCAAUCAACGAGAAUUCGAUAAAAAUAUAUAUAAUAUAUAUAUAUAUAAUAUAUAUAUUAUAUAUAUAUAUAUAUAUAUAUAUAUAUAUAAUUAUAUAUAAUAUAAUUAGAUUACUAUAUCUAUUAAGUACCUGACUUUGAUACAUAGUCUUGUUUUCGAUUUAGGGUAUCAAAAUUAACGAUCACACCGGUAAAAUGACUGAUUUUAGGGUAUAUGAAGUUUCAGGAAUAAAAUUUUAGUUUUUUUUCGAAAUUCUUUACUUAGUAAAUAAAUUAAUGCAAAUGAGGUGGAAAUUGAAAUAAUCUUUAAAAUUUGAGUAUAGUAGACUUUUAAAUUCAAAAUCAAAGAAUUGUUAAACGCUUAACUGAUCGUUUACAAAAUAUUUUCUAUCAAAAAUUUGAAGAAAUUUUAGAAUUCUUCUACACCGUUAAAUCAAACAUCGCUCCAUAGUUAGCCUUGAAAAUUGACAAUUUUGAUAAAUGGUUUGAUCAUAAAGUAACAGUCGAAAAAAAUAUAAAAUUUUAUUUCUAAAAACUUUAAAUACCCUAAAUCAGUUUUAACGGUGUGGAUCGUUGAUUUGAACACCCUAGGAUUGAAAAUGAGACUAUAGUACCGUAGCCCCGGUACUAUAGAUAGUAUAGGAGACUAGCUCUCUCUCUCUCUCUCUCUCUCUCUCUCUAUAUAUAUAUAUAUAUUCUCUCUCUCUCUAUAUAUAUAUAUAUAGUAGGGCUACUAUACUCUUAUGAGUAUAGAGCCUUUCGUGCUCAUAAGUUGUUUUCGAUGUUGGGGCUCCCAAAUCGACGAUCCACAUUGUUAAACAUUAUCUAGAAUAUUUAAAACUUCUAGAAAAUAAAUUUCGUAAUUUUUCGAAAUCAUUAUAAAGUCCAUCAAGCGGAUAUAAAAUGAAUGGCAAAAUCGAACGAUGUCCAAAAAAUGGAUGAUCGGAUCCUUCAAUUUAAGAUUAGGGUUAUUAAUCUUUAUCUAAGUAAUGAAUAUAAUUUUCUAUCAAAAAUUCAAACUAUUCUGAUUCUUUUACACCGUUAAACUAGCAAGUAUCACAUACCGGUCGUUAAAAAUUAUCAAUUUUGUGAGUUUUUGAUCAUAAGGUAAAUGAUAUCGAAAAAUUAUAAAAUUUGAUUUCUAAAAGUUUUAAAUGCUCUAGAUAAUGUUUAACAGUCUGAAUCGUCGAUUCAGAAGCUCUAUUAUUGAAAACAAUUUAUGAGUGCGAAUGCGAUCGUACUCAUAACAAUAUAGUAGCCGGACUAUAUAUANGAGAGAGAGAGAGAUAUAGAGAGAGAGAGAGAGAGAGAGAGAGAGAGAGAGAGAGAGUGUUGAGUUGGAAUACUAUCGGUAGUAAACGGGCUCCAUUGCCACCAAUUUAUUUUCGAUGAUGGAGCCUCCAAAUCGACGAUCGGUACCGUUGAAAAUAAUUUAUACCACUUUAAGUAUCUAGAAAUCAAAUUUCAUGCUUUUCUAAUAUUGUUUUCUCGUUCAUCAAGUGAGCGCAAAAAUGAAUAUUCUCUAAAAAGUAAUGAUAGGAUUUUGUAAUCAAGAUCGAGAGUAUAGAUUUUGUUCUAAAUAGUUUAAAGAAUUUUCUAACCAAAAUUCAAUUGAUUAGGAUAGCUUUACACAGUUAAACGAGAAAACGCCUCAUAUCAACCAUUAAAAUUAUAAAUUUUAAAACCCUUUAAUCAUUAGGUCAAUGAUAUCGAAAAGAUUUGAAAUCUAGAUAUUUCAAGUGAUAUAUAUCAUGUUCAACGGUGCCGAUCGUCCAUUUGAAGGCUCUAUCAUCGAAAAUAAAUGAGUGGUACCGGAGCCCAUUUACUAUCGAUAGUAUUCUAGCAAAACUAUUAUAUAUUUAGAGAAGAGAGAGAGAGUGACUUAGAAUACUUUAAAGUCAGAUGGAUGGUGCUUGUGAGUUUUUAACCUUUGAUAGAAAAUUAGGGUGGAUGAGUGUAAGCUGGGUGGUUGGGUGGUAAGCGGAAUGGUGUUUCAUCCAAGGGGCUAAUUAUAAUUGUCAGGAGUAAUCCAAGGGCUAAAAACCUAAUAGCACCAAAGAGUGAUACUGUGUUAAAAUAUUCUAGCCUCAAUUUAUAUAUAAUAUAAUAUAUUAUAUUAUAUAUAUAUAUAUAUAUAUAUGAUUACCAUUCUCAACCAGAAAAACUAAGGCCCCAUGUGGCCCCAAAACCGACCAUAUGUCCAGAGCUUCAAGGUUUCUAUUUAAACGUGACAGUUGCCGAUCACACAAUGGCCACUCAGUAAAAUAUGCCUACCACAUAACAGAAUAGAGCCAGCUUUAUCCAGAAAAUAGCGGUGAGAGAGAUCUAAGUACAGAGAUGAGUAUAGAGAUAGGAGCAGAGAGAAGAGGAGAGAGGAAUCAAAUCACACUAUGAAAAGAGUACCUAGUCAAGGACACGAAUUUAUGAGCAUGUUUCUUUAUAUUUUAUAUUUUUCUUUUUAAAACAAAUCUAUUGAUGAUGAGCGACACUCAGGCUACUGAGAACCAAGCAAGCAAGCUCUAUCAAAUCAAUUGCCAUUAUCAUCCUUGUUCGAAUAAAUGCAUGCCGCCUCCAUAUAACUAUUUAGUGUUUAAAGUCGUUGUUAUUAUCUAGUGUUUAUUUCUGAACAAUUUAUUUUUGGUGUAGUUUUAUCAGGGAGCUCAAAAAAAAAACCCGUAUCUUCUUGAUUUUAAUAAAUUAGAAAAACAAAGAGUUCUUGACUGAAAUAGAAGUCUCUGAAAACUCACAAAAAAAACGGUUUUGCUUGUUUGAUCUAUUGUACUUUUGAAGUAUUUUUUAUACUGAAAUAACAAAUCAAGUACUUACCAAAUAAAGUUUACACUUUCUUUGUAACCCGAAAUGCAGAAUAAAAUAAAUUUGAAAUUUUGCUUCAACUAUCCUUCAAUAUUAUAAAAGUGAUAAUAUUAAAAAAAAUUAAUAUUAUCAUAGCGCAAACGGCAAAGGACUUCAGUGGUCGUUCCUAAAUUGUUACAAAAAGGUUGAACCUAACUAUAUUGUUCUUCAUUUUACUUUUUCUCAAAACAAAAUAAUAUUAAUUUUAGAAUAAUUCUACUAAGGAGCAUUAUUAUCUAAUUUAGUUGAACUCAAAACAAUAAUCAGUUAAAAGUUUUAGGCUUAUUCAUACAAGUCUGGGAAGAAUCAUCCUUUCUUAUAGGAAGCCGCACAUGUAAGCCCAAAGAGGUAAACUUAAGAAUAUAAAGAAGUUUUUUUUUGCUUUUUCUUAAGAAUUGUAGAUAUAUCUUUAAUGACUAAUGUAAUAAUAAGUAACGAUAUUAGCCGACGCUCCUAGCCAAGUCGCAAGGGCUUGUAGUUGCGCCCGCAGUUCCAAGUUCGAAUCUAGUUGAUUCACCAUUUCCAGUCAUGUUUAUUAUUAAUAAAAUAAACGACGGGGUAGCAUAUUAUCAUCUCUUAAAAAAAAGUAACGUGAUAUUCGGUUAAGUAUAAUAUAACUAUUCCUACCAUUUUUUCUAUUAUUUUCUUUUUCACUUCCUCAAGCAUGUAUGCACCUUCCCAUAAUUCCAAAAAGAACUAGUUGAUUAUAAAAUAAAUGGUAUGAAGACCCCCUAAACAUAUUCAAUUCUUAAAAUAAACCAAUGCUUAUCGUGUUAAAGUUAUCUGCGUUCAAAUUAACAUAACCAAUAAUUUACGUUACCACACCAUCAAAGAUUCAUGUCAUAUGAAAUAUUUAAUGCUAUCACAAAAAGAGACUACAAAGAGUAUAUCCAAGAUCUAAAACGCAUUCCAUAUUCCCCUCAGAAUCAUAAUUGUCAAUACUUCCAAAUUAAAGUAAAUUCCUCGCUAUCAAUCACGAAAGAAAACUUUGUAAUAAUUGUUCGACAAGUAUUCGUGUCCACAUCUAAGUAGGUACCAAGUAAAAAUGCUUUAAUUAGGCUCAUUUGUAAAAUUAUAUUAUUGACCUUCUAGCAUAGGUUUAUACGGUUUGAUGUGACAAUGACAAUAUGAAUUUCUUUAAUUCUGUCAUUGGGCUGAUUUAAAUGUAUCUACAAAAUCAAAAUAUCUAGUUUCCCAUGCUGACAAGAUUCAGUACCACGCCAAAAAUUCUACUUUACUAUAGCGUACAUUCGGUCCCUUAUCAACUUUUUUAUAAAUAUAUUACUAAUGUGAGAGAGGAUGGUAGCAUUGUACCACUUCGUUUAUUUCAUUCAAAAACAAACUAUACGCUAGAAAAUUAAAUCAACAAGAUUCGAACUUGAAUCUCGAUAACCAAACCAUCAAACCCUUUGCCAUUAUGCUAAUAAACUAAAUUUUUUGAAACACUUAUGAACAUUAAAACGAGAAAUGUAAGCUUAAUUUUUACAUGAACAUAGUUUUCUUUCUUUGAGAAAGGUAGCCCUCUACCGGCUCAUUCAUUAAAAAGUGAACUAAGCCUACUGAGUGAGACAUCGCAAGACUCAAGACGAAAAAAAAAAGUCUAAUUUAUAAAAUUAACCAGAACAUGUCUUCCCGCUAAUGGAAUGAAGCUUGCUCCACUGACUUGUAGUUGAUUAACUUUAAUUCAUUCGAGGAUUUGCUGUGGUCAUGCUAAGACGCACCGUUUUUGCUUCCCAAAAAACCACAACAGGUCAAUUAGCUCCGAUUUAGCCCGAGGGCUUGGAAAUUCUAUCUGAAACCCUUCUGUUUUCAUAUGGUCCGAUGACCAAUAGCACUUCCUCGCCAUAGUCUCUUAUGCUCACAUCUUCCAAGUCGUUACCACUAGAAAUCCUGAGACACCACUGGGUGAACAAGUGAUCAAUGACUCUUCUUCUGUCCUGCAUACACACAUAUGGUGUUGCCCGACCCAUCCCUCUUUUAGAGAUUCCCACAGUAGGGUUCUUUCUCUAGGAUACGAGCCAGCAGAACAUCUUCACUUUGAGGAGGGAUACGAAGUUUAAAUCUUUUUGCUCAGUCGAAGUCCUUUUACCCCGUCACCACAACAAGGAGUAGGUUAUUAUUGGAAAAAUCCAGUCAGGACGUCAACGCCAGUGCACACUGUCAGCGGCCCUUCCUAGUUUUGAAAUUUGACACCCGCGCCAUAAGUAAUGAAAUCUACAUUUAAUCCUAAUCAAUAUUGGCCGCGCAUCCCCAAUACUUACUGCGCAGUUCCAUCCGUUGUCCCCAGCACUCAUGAUUGUCAGAUUAUUACUGGUCAUAGCUGAAACCUCUGAAAAUGACAUUUGUAACGUAGUGUCUCCACCAACGGUAAUAAGUAUUUUCAUCCAACAAAUAGGGAUGGGUCUUACAAUGCUUAGACCACUGUGAGACCUGAUCAAUCUUUUUGUGCCUCCACACAAAACCCAGAUACAUAGGAACCCGUUCCAAGUCCCCUCUCAUUCAGCGUACCUCAGUAGACAGAGAGAAGAGAGAGAGAACGAGAGGUAGCCACCUGCUUUAGGAAAUCAUGUGCUCCAACUGAACACCUGGAGUGGCCCGAACAUGUGCCAGCAAUAUCUUAGUCCCUGGCGGCCCUUCCGCAGUCUCUCCUUUCGCUCUCUCCUUCAUUAAGUUAGCUGCCUGCACCCUGCACCCAUUCCCGUAGAUGCCGCACAUCUCACCUAGCUCAUUUUAUCUCUUAUUAUCACUUCUAUACAUUUAAAAUUUAUUAGACAUUCACAUCAAUUAUCUAAAUAAUUAUUUUAGAUCCUUUGAUCACAUGAUAAAUGAUAACAAAAAAAAUUAUUAAAAUUUUUUAAUUUCUAAAUAGUUCUAAUAACAUAUAUAUUCGUAUGAAAGCGAUCGCCGAAUCUGAUUAUUCUAUAUUAAAAAAUAAUAUUACAAUAUGCAGGUCUUGUUACUUUCGAAGCGUUAGAGGCACUCUCUCUCUCUCUCCCUCUCUCUCUUUAUAUAUAUAUAUAUAGUAGAGCCAAUACUAUAUACUUCAAAUAUUGUAAUUAAUAAUUUUCUGAGACUUUUACGACCGUCCUUAAGCAAGUCCGCAAAGGCUUGGUGUGUUGGUAACCUGAGACCCAAGUCUUGAAUCCUAGUUGAUUCACUUCCAGCUAAGUUUAUUUCAAAAUGAAUAAACGAACGGGUAGCGUGCUACCUAUUUCUCAAAAAAAGAAAAAUAAAGUUUCUGCUUUUUUGACAUUAAUUAAAAAUGUAUGAUUGGAUAAUAUAUUCCACUAGGGUUGGGGCAAUCUUCUAGAAGUUACAGCUCCCUCUAGCAUAAUAGUUUAAUCCCAAGGACUUAAAAUGAUCAAAGAGUUUAUCAAGCAUUAAAACUGGAAGCAUCACAGAAGGUGCUGCUUCCAAAAAGCAAUAUAGUCGGACUCUCUCUCUAUAUAUAUUCUCUCUUUCUUCCUUACACAUAUAUACAAAAGGGCAAUUGCUAUAUAUCCUAAAAGCUUACCGACUUUUAUUUUACCCUUCUAAGAAGGUAAUAUUAAAAUCACCUUUUACGUUCAACCUAUUUUAAAAUACCCCUAGAGUUAAAUCUGUUAUAAAAUCUGUAUCUAUAUAAAAUUAUUAGUUUUUUGCCAUUUCAAAUAUAUCAUUCACAAUCCACCGACUUUUCUUAUUUGUCCGCAAGUCAGAUGACCAAAAAAUAUUUGACUUUUGUCUUUUCAAAUAUACCCUCUACGUUACCAAAUUAUUUAUUUGCCUUAAGAAGGGACAAAAUUGGCAUUUAAUUUUUUAACUUGAUAAUAUUUUAAUCACAUUAACCAAGUAACUUAACAGGGAUAACAUAUAGAGUAUUUUCAAUAAGGUGGAGGAUAUUUUAUAAGAAGAAAACAAAAAGGGGUAAACAUCGAGAUAUUCUCAAGGACGUUAGAUCGUAUAUAUGGGCAAUUAUUCCCUAUUAACAACUAAUCAUUAUACUAUUAUGAAUACGAAUCAUUUAUAUUCAAAAUUUUUUUUUUAAUAGAAUUUUGAAUUACGAUGCAUACUGUUAUAAAUGAUUAUAUUUAGAGAUUUAAUUAAAAUAAUUUUUUAUAUUUUUUGAUUUAUUAUCUGGUCUAAAAAUAAUUUUGUAAAAGAAGUAGCAAGCUACCAUUUUAUUUUUUAGAAAUUGAAUUAAUAAGGAGUGUAAAACAAUUAUGCUAUCUAACUGUUGGCACCUCGGUGGUAUUGCACCAAAACUCUGCCAGUUCGCUAAGCAGUUUUACCAUGAAUUGACAAUUUAACAGCUAAUAGGAAUGCCGCUAGUUUAAGCGAUUGGUAAGAAAUAAGAAUCAGUUGAUUUUAUGUAAAUCAUAUAAUUCACAUAUCUUGAUCUGAUCAAUCACUAUAACUUAUCUUAGAGCUUGUACAUUUUUUAAUUUCACUUAUAUCGUGCUGUAUGAAUUUUAUUAUAAUUUAAAUUUAUAAAAUUUAUUUAUAGCACUCAAAUGCAUAUUUCGAUGUUUAGCAGUAUGAUGAUCGAAUCAGUAAUUCUAUUAUUGAAAAUAACUUAUAAGUAUAAAGUCGCUUUUAUUAUAAGACAUUAUAUAAAAUUUCUGACUAGUUUAAAUGUCUCGUAGAAUAACGUUAACUCUGUGAUCGUCGAUCCGGAAGCCUUAUAUCGAAAUACAACCUAAAAAAAAAAUAACUUAGAUUAUGAGUGACCAUCGUACUGAUAGAGUAUAGUAGCCCGACUCUCUCUUUUUUUCCCGCUCUCACCAAUGAUGAUAUUUUAAAGCAUAAGAGCUUAUUCUUAUAUUAUAUAUUAUAUUAUAUUGAUAUAUAUAUUAAUUAUAAUAUAUAUAAUAUAAAUAUAAUAAAGAGAAAGAAAGUUUGGUGCCAAAUAUUGAAUAGAUAAAUUGUUGACUUUCCACCCUUUAAAUGCUAGUAGCGUUGUCGCUGAACAAAGGGAAUAACCGUUUCUCUUUAUUCCAAAAGUUAUUUUGGUGUUUGAGAGUAAAUAGUUUUUAGAUUUCGAAAUAGAUAAUAACCUGUAUAAACUGGAACUACUUCCACCUUUUCCUCGACUAAGUUUGUUCCUAAUCGUGAGAACAAAGUUAAUUAAAAUUUAAUUUAAUUUUAAUUAUGUAUGAAAUCGAUUAAAUUAUCUAAUUAAAAUAUUUAAACCAUUAUCCAUUGCCUAGAAUUAAUAUAUAUAAUUAAUAAUUAAUUCAUAUUUAUUCUAUUUAAUUAUUAAUAAUUUAAUGUAUCAUUUAUAAACUAAUAUUAUAUAUUGACAAUCAAUAUAUGUUUAGUAAUCUAAUUAAUUUCUCUCUCUCUCUCUCUCUCUCUCUCUCUCUAUAUAUAUAUAUAUAUAUAUAUAUAAAAAGAGAGAGAGAGAGAGAGAGUGAGAGAGAGUUGAUAAGUUCAAUGUGAGAUAAUAUAAUAACUAUCCAUCAACAUAAUACUUUAAAAAAAAUAUUUAUAAGUUUUUUACUCUUCAGAGGUAUUUAAUUGAAUAUCAUGUAAAUUUCAUAUAUUGAUUAAUUCUGCAACAGAAGAGUGUUUUUAAUUUUAUAUUUUUAAGAUAUGUGGAGAUAUUUAUUUAGUGCAAUACUACUUGCACAUCUAUUUAUAGAAUGUAAUUUUUAGACCACACUUACCUAAAGGAUAUUAUUUUAUAAUUAGUCCUACCUAAUUUUUUGAUGCUAAAAACUUAAACUGGGUUUAUCAACUUUAGCAUAAAUAACAUAUAAAAUUUAUAUGUAAUAACAAGUGUAUAGAUAGCUUUAUUUAUUUGGUAAGAAAAUUGGUAUUGCCCAAACGAUUCUUGAUAUUGUCAACUCAGAAAAAUCUAAAUUAUCAAGACGUACAAUAUAUCUGUUCUCGCUAUAUCAAAACUAUCUAUCUAUCUAUCUAUUACAAUAUUAAUUCCCGAUUAAAUAUUAUAAAUCUUGUUUUAGAUUGCAAUAUUAAAUAUUAUAUAUAUCUGUUCCUCGGAAGGAGUGGGGCCCUCAAGGAAUAAAACUAUUAUUGGAGAUCAGCUCCUGUCAGUUAUACCAUAUAUUAAUUUUUAUUUCCAUUCAAUAAUUCAUUGAAUAUUUUUGAAAAAAAUUUCAAAUAUCACUUCUAUGAUUUUGAAGUGUACCGAUUUACUAUCCGUGGUUUUAUUUUUUCCUUUUUAUUAUUUCUUUCACUAUUUUUUUUUAGUUAAAUCAGUAAUAAAAUUAAAAUUAAAAUAUAUUAAAGUGAAUAUUCAAUAAACCAAGUUGGUGCAUCUGAAUUUUUUUGCAUAUAAUUUAAUAAAUAUUAACGAAAAAACUGAAAAAAAAAGAAAAAUAAAACUAAAGAAUAUUAAAUUGAUACCCUUUAAUUAUAGGGUACUAAAGUGACCACAAACGAAGCUCUCCCUACUGGAAUUUUAAUUUUUUUUUUUUUCUCCCACCGCAGGCUUACAUAGCGAGCGCUAGGGAUGCAAACGGGGCGGAUCCGGGGACAGGAGAGUUUCCCCACCUCCCGCUUCAUUUUUUAUCUGGACGGGACGGAUUCGGGGCGAGUUACUUUUCAUUUUAUUUUUGGCUCCCACUUACCGCUCCAUUCGGGGCGGAUCGGGGCGGAAGCGGGGCGGGAGCGGAUUUUUAAAGGAUCGGGAUAGAUUGAAGGAAGAAAAGAGUCUCCCGCCUCCCGCUCCAUUUACUUGGCGGAUCGAAGCAGAUUCGGGACGGGUUAUAUUUUUCUAUAUUUUUUAUUCCCACUUAUCACUCUAUUCGGAACAGAUUGGGACGAAGCUCUACCAACCCGGAUCCAUUUGCAUCCCUAGCGAGCGCAGGUGGGUGGGGUCCCAGGAUGUUCCCGCGCGAGGGAGCCGAUACGUGGCUGGGCCAGUUGCGCCAAAGCGAUCGUGAGGUCGGCAUGGAGAUGGGGCGGUGACGUGGCCGCGUCCGGCGCCUCCCGUCUUUGUCUGGCUUAUUUUAUUAUUGGGCCAACAGAUGACGUGCGCCGAUUCGAUGGAGGCAGAUAUUCGAGGAGGUUGCCACCGUUUCGUUGGACGUAGUGCACCACGUCAGCCCUGAACCGCAGUAUUUCGUUCGACACCUCUUAUUUGAAAUUUGAAAAUUUUUUAUUAUUUUUUAUUAGAAUUGUUUUUUGAAUAGUUUAUUUUGAGACGGUUCGUUUUAUAGUCAAAUAAUGUCGAAAAAGUAUAUAAAAUUUUAUUUCUAAAUACUUCAAAUAGCGUUGAUUAUAUCUAACAAAUCUGAUUGUUCAUUUGAAUUAAUGUUUUAUCAUCAAGAAUAAAUUAUUAAUAUCAAGAGUUUCGUACUGUUAGUUCAACCAGACUAUUAUUAAUAGUAUGCAAAUUAUUAUACUUUUUCACCAUUGGAAUAUCACUAUUCCAUCAACUUCCACUACACACUAAGACUACGUCUUAUUCAGAUAUAAAUAAGAAUUACUUAUUCCAGAGAUAUGUAUAAGUUCACGUACAAGCAGGAACUUGACCAAAUUUGCAUUUGCAUGAAAAUUGGAUUGUUUCUGAAGAUAAGAUAAAUAGUGUUUGGAUGGUUAGAUUGAAACAAGAGGAAUAAGAGUUAUAAUUUUAAAUUAAAAAUACUUUAUCUAAUUAAUUAACCUCAAAAUAUUAAGUAAAAAUAAUUUAACAAAUUGAGAAAUUUUUUACUUAUGAAUAUUGUAUGAGACAAUGAAUAUAUAUUAACCAAUUAAUUAAAUAUAAAGUAUAAUUUAAAUUUUUAAUUAGUUAGUAAAUUAUUUUAGUUAGAUAACUAGUAAACAAAAUUAAUUAGAUUACUAAACAUAUUAUUGAUUGAUCAAUAUAAAUAUUAGUUUAUAAAUAAAUACAUUAAAUUAUUAAUAAUUAAUUAUAAAUAAUAUAUUAAUUAAUUAAUUAAUUAUCUAAGCAAUGGAUAAUGAUUUAAAUAUUUUAAUUAGAUAAUUUAAAUAUUUAAUACCAUAAUUAAAAUUAAAAUUAAAUUUUAAUUAAUCUUGUUCUCACUUAGGAACAAACUUGUUCGAGGAAAAAAGGUGGAACAGUAGUUCCAGUCUUAUACCAGGUUAUAUUAUCUUAUUUCAGAAAUCUAAAAACUAUUACUCUCAAACACCAAAUAUAACUUUUGGAAAUAAAAGGAGGAACAACGGGUUAUUCCCCUUGUUCCAGGACCAAACGCUACCUAAGCAUUUAAGGGUGGAAAAGUCAACAAUAUUCUCUAUUCACAUACUUUGCACAACUCUCUCUUUCUCUCUUUAUAUAUAUAUAUAUAUAUAAUUGAGCUCUUAUGCUUUUAAAAAUAUUAAGUCAUUGGUGAGAGAGAGAGAAAAAAAGAGAGAGUCCGGCUACUAUACUCUUAUCAGUACGAUCGUCCUCAUACUCAUAAGUUGUUUUCGAUUAUAGAGCUUCCGAAUCGACGAUCCACAGAGUUAAACGUUAUCUAGAGCAUUUAAAACGUCUAGAAAUCAAAUUUUAUAAUGAUCUUAUAAAUAAAGCGACUUUUAUACUUAUAAGUUAUUUUCAAUAAUAGAAUUACUGAUUCGAUCAUCCAUACUGCUAAACAUGAAAUAAUGCAUUUGAAGUGCCUAAAAAAUAAAUUUUAUAAAUUUUAAAAUUAUAAUAAAAUUCAUCAAGCCGAUAUAAAGUGAACAAUUAAAAAAUGUACAACGUCUUAAAAAUAAAGAUUAUAGUGAUUGAUCAUGAUCAAGAUUGUGAAUAUAUAGGAUUUUACAUAAAAAAUUCAACUGAUUCUAUUUCUUCCAAUCCCUUAAACUAGCAGGCAUCUCCUAUUAGCUGUUAAAAUUGUCAAUUCUAUGGUAAAAUGCCCUUAGCGCAACUGGCAAAGAGUUUGGUGGUCAAUACCCGAGGUCCAAAGUUAGUAGCAUAAUUGCUUUACACUUCUUAUUAAAUUCAUUUCUAAAAAAAUAAAAUGGUAGCUUGCUACAUUUCUCUUACAAAAAUUAAUUUUAGACAAGAUAAUAAUAUCAAAAAAAUAUAAAAAAUUAAUUUAUAAAAUUUCAAAUGCUCUAAAUCAUAUUUAACAGUAUGAAUCGUCAAUUCAAAAAUUCUAUUAUAAAAAAAAAAAAAUUAUGAAUAUAAAAAUGAUCGUAUUCAUAAUAGUAUAAUGAUUAGAUUUUAUAUAGGGAUAAUUGCCUAUAUACCCAUUAUACGUUUGAAAAUAUCCGAUUUUACCCCUAUUUUUCUUUUCUUUCUAAAAUAUCCUCCACCGUUAUUGCAAAAUACCUCUAUAGUUAUCCCCUGUUAAGUUAACUUGGGUUAAAUGUGAGUUAAAUAUCUAUCACAGUUAAAAAAAAUUAAAAUGCCAAUUUUGUCCUUAACUUAAGGGCAAAUAAAAAAUGUUGGUAACGGUAGAGGGGUAUAUUUGAAAAGACCAAAAGUCAAAAUAUUUUUUGUACUCCUGACUUGAGGACAAAUAAGAAAAGUCGGUGGUUGUGAAAUGAUAUAUUUGAAAUGGCAAAAUAAUAAUUUUAUAUAGAUAACAGAGUUUAUUAACAGAUUUUAACUCUAGGGGUAUAUUUAAAAUAGGUUGGAACGUAAAAAGGGUAUUUUCAAUAUUAACCUUCUAAGAAGGGUAAAUCAAAAAGUCGGAAGCUUUUCAAGGAUAUAUAAGCAAUUGCCCCUUUUGUAUAUAUGUGUAGAGAGAGAAAGAGAGAAUAUAUAUAGAGAGAGAGUCCGACUAUAUUGCUUUUGGAAGCACCACUCAUGUGAUGCUUCCAGUUUUUUAAUCCUUGGAUUAAACUCUUUGAUCAUUUUAAGUCCUUGGAUUAAUACUAUUAUCUUAGAGGGAGCUGUAAAUUCUAGAAGGAUUGCCCAACCCUAGUGAGAACUACUAUUAUCCCAAUCAUAACAUUUUUAAUUAAAUGGUCAAAAAGUCAGAAAAUACUUUUUUUUCUUUUUUGAGAAAUAGGUAGCACGCUACCCGCUUCGUUUAUUUCAUUUUGAAAUAAACUUAGCUGGAAAUGUGAAUCAACUAGGAUUCGAACUUGGGUCUCGGGUACCAACCACCAAGCCCUUUGCCACUUGCUCUAGGGACGGUCGGUAAAAGUCAGAAAAUACUAAUUACUAUAUACUUUCGAAAGUAUAGUACUUGGCUCUACUAUAUAUAUAUAUAUAUAUAGAGAGAGAGAGAGAGAGAGAGAGAGAGAGUGCCUCUCUACGCUUUCGAAAGUACAAAGACCUUCAUACUUGUAAAUUAUUUUUAAUAAUAGAAUAUCAGAAUCGGCGAUCGGCUUCAUAAGGAAUGAUAUAUGUUAUUAGAACUAUUUAGAAAUUAAAUUUUAUAAUUUUUUGUUAUCAUUUAUCAUGUGAUCAAAGGAUCUAAAAUAUAAUUAUUUUAAUAAUUGAUGUGACAUGUCUAUAAAUUUAAUAGUAUAGAGAGUGAUAAAUAAGAGAUAAAAAUGAAGCUAGGUGAGAUUGCGGUGCAUAUACGGCGAAGGCGGUGCAGGGUGCAGGCACUAACUUAAUGAAGGAGAGAGCGAAAGAGAUGACGCGAAAAGGGCCGCCAGGGGACUAAGAUAUUGCUGCCACAUGUUCGUGGGCCCACCUCGGUGUUAGUUGGAGCACAUUGAUUUCCUAAAAGCAGGGGUGCCGGCUACUCUCUCUCUCUCUCUCUCUCUCUCUUCACUGUGGUACCGCUGAUGGAGGGAGACGUGGAACGGGUUCCAUGUAUCUGGGUUUUGUGUUGGAGCACAAAAAGAUGAUCAGGUCCUACAGUGACUAGGCAUUGUACAGACCCAUCCCUAUUUGUUGGAUGAAAAAUACUUAUUACCGUUGGUGUGGAGACACUACUUUACAAUCGUCAUUUUCAGAGGUGUUUCAGCUAUGACCCAUAAAAAUCUGACAAUCAAUGAGUGCUGGGGGGACAACGGAUGGAACUGGCGUAAGAUAUUGGGAUGCGGCACCAAUAUUGAUUACGGAUUAAAUACUACGAUUUCAUUACUUAUGGCGCGGGUGUCAAAUUUCAAAACUGAGAAGGGCCCUGACAGUGUGCACUGGCGUUGGACUCCUGACGGACUUUUUUCAAUCAAAUCAACCUACUCCUUGUUGUGUGACGGGGGUACAAGGGACGUUCGCGCCAAAAAGAUUUGAAAACUUCGUAUCCCUCUCAAAGUGAAGGUGUUCUGCUGGCUCGUCCUCAAGAAAAGAACCCCUACUGUGGAGAAUCUACUAAAAAGAGGAUGGGUCGGCAACACAUACUGUGUGUUAUGCAGGACAGAAGAAGAGUCAGUUGAUCACUUGUUCACCCAGUGCGUGUUCUUCAGAUUUCUAGUGGUAAAGACCUUGGAAGAUGUCGAGCUAAGAGACUUGGGCGAGGAAGUGACUUUGGUCUGGGACAUAUGGAAAAACAGGAAGGGUUCAGCAAAUUCAAGCCCCGGGCUAAUCGGGCUAAUUGCCUGUUGGUGGGUUGUUUGGGAAGCCAAAAACGGUGCGAUCUUCAGAUUGACCAGGCAAGAUCCCUUCAAUGAAAUUUACAAGAUUAAUCAACUAACAAGUCAGUGGGAGCAACUUCAUCCAUUAGCGGGAGACAAUUGUACUGGUUAACCUUUUAUAAAUUUAUACUCUUUUUUUUUCGUCCUCCUCGAGGCUUGCGAUGUCUCACUCAUGUAGCUUAGUUCACUUUUUUAAUGAAUGAAGCAGGUAGCGUGCUACCUUUCCCUCAAAAGAAAAGAAAAUACUUGUUACAUGUAAAAAUAAAGCUUACAUUUCUCUUAUUUAAGUGUUCAUAAGUUUUCAAAAACAUUUAGUUUAUUACAAAUGGCAAAGGGUUUGAUGGUUGGUAUCCGAGAUUCAAGUUCGAAUCCUUGUUGAUUUACAUUUUCAGCUAAGUUUAUUUUUGAAUGAAAUAAACGAAGUGGUAGCAUGCUACCUAUCUCUCUCAACAUUUAGUAUAUAUAUUUAUAAAAAAAAGUUGAUAAGGGACCGAAUGUAGCAUCAGUAAAGUAGAAUUUUUGCGUAGGGUACUGAAUCUUGUCACAUGGCAAACUAGAUAUUUGAUUUUUGUAAGAUACAUAUUAACAUCAGCCCAAUGACAGAAAUUAAAGAAAUUCAUCAUUGUCAAUUGUCACAUCCAACCGUAUAAAACCUAUGCCUAGAAGGUCAAAAUAUAAUUUCUACCAAAUGAGCCUCAAAUUAAAGCUUUUAACUUGGUACCUACUUAGAUGUCGGAACAAAUUACUUGUCGAAAACUUAUACAAAGUUUUCUUUCGUGAUUGCUAGGGGAGAAUUUAACUUUAACUUCUUGGAAGUCAUUGACAAUUAUGAUUUCGAGGGGGAAUAUGGAAUGCGUUUUUAGAUACUUGGAUAUACUCUUUUUGUACAUCUUUUUGUGAUGCAUUAAUAUUUCAUAUGACAUGAAUCUUUGAUGGGUGUGGUAACGUAAUUAUUGGUAUGUUUAAUUUGAGACCAGAUACUUUACACGAUAAGCAUGGUUUAUUUUAGAAUGAACUAUGUUUAGGGGGUCUUCAUACAUUUUUACUUUAUAAUCAAACUAAGGUUCCUUUUGGAAUUAUGGGAAAGGUGCAUUACAUGCUUGAGAAAGUGAAAAAGAAAAAUAAUAGAAAAAUAUGGUAGGAAAAUAGUUAUUUUAUAUUAACCAAUAUCACGUUACUUUUUUUUUAGAGAGAUAGAUAAUAUGCUACCCGCUUCGUUUAUUUUAUUUAAAAAUAAACAUAGCUGGAAAUGUGAAUCAACUAGAAUUCGAACUUCGGAACUCGGGCGCCAACUACCAAGCCCUUUGGCACUUGCGCUAGGGACGGUCGGUAAUAUCACGUUACUUAUAUUACAAUUAGUCAGUUAAGAUAUGAUUCUACAAUUCUUCAGAAAAACAAAAAAAACACUUCUUUAUAUAUUCUUUAAGUUACCUCCUUUUGGCUUCACAAUGUGCGGCGUUCCUAUAGAAAGGGAUGAUUCUUCCCAACUUGUAUGAAUUAAGCCUAAAAUUAUUUAACUGAUUAUUUUGUUGAGUUGCUAACUAGAAUUAGAUAAUAAGUGCUCCUUAAGUAGAAUUAAUUUAAAAAUUAUUAAUUAUUUUGUUUUUGAGAAAAAGGUAACAUGAAGAUACAAAAUAAGUAGGAUUCAAACUUAAAAUCUUAGGAACCAACCACUAAGUCCUUUGCCGCUUGCGCUAUUGAUAAUAUAAUUUUUUUUAUAUUAUCACUUUUAUAAUAAUAUUGAAGGAUAGUUGAAGCAAAAAUUUCAAAUUUAUUUUAUUCUGCUUUCGGGUUACAAAGAAAAGUGUAAAACCUUUUAUUUGCUAAGUAAUUGAUUGUUAUUUCAGUUAUACAAAAAAUACUUCAAAAGUACAACUAGUCAAAAAGCAAAACCGCUUUUUUUUUGUGAGUUUAUCAGCAGACUUCUAUUCAGUCAGAACUCUUUGUUUUUCUAAUUUAUUAUAACAUCCAAGAAGAUACGGGUUUGAGCUCCACUGAUAAAACACACCAACAAAAAUCAAACUUUCGAUCUCAGAAAUAACAACUCAGAUAAUAACAACCGACUUUAAACACUAAAUAGCUUAUAGGAGGCGGCAUGCUUAUUCGAAAACAAGGAUGAUACAUGGCAAUUGAUUUGGAUAGAGCUUGCUUGCUUGGAUUCAUGCAGAGGCCUGAGUGGUAGCUACAUCAUCAAUAGAUUUGUUUUAAAAAGAAAAAUAUAAAAAAUAUAAAAGAAAACAUGCAUCAUAAAUUCGUGUCCUUGACUAGGUACUCCUUUUCAUACCUGUGAUUUGAUUCUCUCUCUCUCUCUCUCUCUCUCUAUCUCUAUCUCUAUCUCUGUACUUAGAUCUCUCUCCCCCCCUAUUUUCCUGCAUAAAGCUGCUCUAUUCUGUUAUGUGGUAGCAGUAUUUAAUGAGGUGGCCAUUGGGUGUGAUCGCGCAACUUGUCACGUUUAAAUAGAGAAACUUGAGCUCGGAACAUAUGGUCGGUUUUGGGGCCACAUGGGGCUUCGUUUUUUCUGGUUGAGAAUGUAAUCAUAUAUAUAUAUAUAUAUAUAUAUAUAUAUAUAUAUAUAAUUGAGCUAGAAUAUUUUUAUAAGUAUCACUCCUUUGGUACUAUUAGGUUUUUAGCCCUUGGAUCUACUCCUUGAUUACUAAUAGCCCUUGGAUCAAACACUAUUCCACCUACCACCAACCACCACCAGCUACCACCAUCAUCCCAACCCUACAUUUCUCUAUCAAAGGAUUAAAAACUCACAAGCACCAUCCUCUUGAUGCUUUUAGAAGUAUUCUAGCUCAACUCUCUCUCUCUCUCUAUAUAUAUAUAUAGUUUUGCUAGAAUACUAUCGAUAGUAAACGAGCCGUUUGACUUACCUAUUUAUUUUCGAUGAUAAGCUUCCAAAUGAUGAUCGGCUUACGUUGAACAUGAUCUAUACAUUUGAAGUGUUUAGAAAUCAAAUUUCAAAUCUUUUCGACAUCAUUUGCCUAAUGAUCAAAGGGUUUCAAAAUUUAUAAUAUUAAUAGUUGAUAAGAGGCGUUUUCUAUUUAACGGCGUAAAGAUAUCCAAAUCAAUUGAAUUUGUUAGAAAAUUCUUUAAACUAUUUAAACAAGAUCUAUACUCUUGAUCUUGAUUACAAGACUCUUCAUCAUUUUUUAAAGAAUAUUCAUUUUCAGUCAUUCAUUUUUCUAUUCACUUGAUGGAUAAAAGAACAAUAUCGAAAGUGCGUGAAAUUUAAUUUCUAGGUAGUUUAAAUGGUUUAGAUCAUGUUUAACGAAACCGAUCGUCAAUUUGGAAGCUCUAUCAUCGAAAACAAAUCGGUAGUAAAAGGCUCGUUUACUAUCGAUAGUAUCCUAGCUCAACUCUAUAUAAUAUAUUAUAUAUAUAUAUAUUAUAUAUAAUAUAUAUAUAUAUAUAGUUAGCUAAAAUACUCUUAAAAAUACCAUGAAGGUGGAUGUUUUUUGAGUUUUUAGCUAUUGGAUGGAGAGAUGUAGGGCUGAAAUGAUGGUGGCAGGUGGUGGUAGGUGAAAUAGUGUUUGAUCCAAAGAUUAUUAGUAAUCAAGGAGUAGAUCCAAGAACUAAAAAUUUAGAAGUACCAAGAGAUUGGUGUUUCUAAAAGUAUUCUAGCUCAAUUAUAUAUAUAUUUAACCCUUGGAUGAAAAAUUGUAGGGUCAGAAUGAUAUUAGUCGGUUAGAGUUGAGUGGUCCCCACUGGGUUAUAGUAUUUAAUCCAAUGGUUAGAAAUAAUGAAAAAAGUUGAUCCAAAGGCUAAAAAACUGGUAGCAACAAUGGGAUUUUGCUACUAAUAGUAGCCGAGUCCAACUCUAUAUAUAUAUAUAUAUAUAUAGAUAAGUCAAGUUCAAAUAACAUAAGUGUAAUAGUGAACAGUAUUACACUCUUUUUGAACCGUUGAUCUAAAUAUAAUCCAAAGAUCGAGGUAAAACAAUGGCAACUUUUUUAAUUUUUAUGUCAAAAUACUCUUCCCUACUCUAUAGGAUGUGACACCACUUUAAUAGCCUUGGAUUUCACAUUAAGUAAUAUUAUGAAACUGUACAUUGUUACACUAAUUUUUUAACUAGUCAUUGAGUUAGAUCAAAUAGCUUAGCAGUUUAGCUAUUUGUCACAUUGCUAUAAUUGGCCUUUGAACUUUACUUUGUUAAUAAUUUCAUAAAAAUUUUAUUUAUUUUGAUGUGAAUUGUUGCAAUCAAUUAAAUUUUGAAUUUUUUAUAAAAUUAAAUUUCAGUGUAUUAAAAUCAAUUGCAACCAUCCAAAAGCAUCGAAAGAAAUAAAAUGUUGAUAAUUUUUAUCUAAAUAUUGUCAGUUUUUAUAUGAAUUAUUUUGCUGUAAAAAAUUUGCUUAUAUUUGAGAUUAUCAACCAAAGUUAUCUCAGUUAGUAAAGAAAAACUGAUUAUACAGUAGGUUUACAAUGGAGGGGAAAAAAAAAGAAAAGAAAAAGGGAGUGAAACCCAAGGCUACUGCAGUCAUUUCAAAUCCUAUGAAGUAGAGAAGAGUAUUUUAGCAAAGAAACAAAAAGUUGCCCAUUGUUUCAUCUCAAUCCUUGAUUUGUACUUAAAUUUACGGUUCAAAAAAAGUGUAAUACUAUUCAUUGUUACACUUAUGUUAUUUGAACUUGACUCUAUAUAUAUAUAUAUAUAUAUUGCAACAUUAUUUCCCACAACUUGACUCCACUUUUCUAUCUAUUUUAAUAUAUAUAUAUAAAAUAUUAUUAAAAUAUUUUAUAAAAGAUCUGAAGGUUCAAUUUCUGCCAUGCAGUUUUAAAAAGAUUUCUGACAAGGGACAAAAGAUAGCCAACUAUCGGCUUGAUUCAAUUUCUUUAAUAAAUAAACUAAGUUAUAAAUAUAAAGCAAAUAACUUUUGAAUUUGGAACCUUCCAAAAGCAAAUAACUUUUUUAACAGAAGGCUAUUUCAUGGGUAACUUGAAGUAAGAAUAAUUCUUCUGCAACAUAGAACUAAAAUUAGUUCAAUCAUAAAAAUUCAGUUUAAUUUUGAAGUGUUCUUUUGGCCAUGGGUGCUUUUAUGGUACUUAUAAUUUUUUAUUUUAAUCAAAAAUAAAAAUUACUUAUAUUUAAUUUAAAUUUGAAUAAAAUAAAAAAUUUGCGAGGCUGAUAUGGGGUGCCAACAAUAAAAGCAUAAUUUAUAGACAGAAAAAAUAUGAAAUAUAUAUUUCACCCCAUCACGGAGGCAGAGCAAGUGGUGGGGCGGGUCUCUUACCCCAAAUCCGUCCCGUCUGCAUUCCUAUUGUUGAACCAACUAUGAAUCCAAAUUUUCUAGCACUUGUAGCUAAUGCCGCAAAUAGGCCAGAUCCGUCCCCUCUGCAGCUGUAAUAUUGAACCAGCAAUGAAUUCGAAGUGUCUGGGAUUUGUAGAUGGGCCCAUGUUCUAAGGCCUAAUUGUAAUGUAUUAAAUUUGAAAUUAGGUCCAUGUUCUAAGGCCCAUUGAAUUGGGCCUAAUGUUAUAGGUUCGGCCACGACACCUUACUAUUAUUACUUGAUGUGAUGGACCAUUUUCUGCAGGAAUGGGGCUUUGAUCCACUCACAUCGCUGUACACCGGUAGUGUAAAGUGUUUUUCUUACAAGCGGUGUAUGUCCAGGAGGUAAAGUAUUUUCCUUACAAGGGAGUGGUUAGAUUUGAACUCGACGGGAAUGUUCAUGUUAGUUCAAGCAAUUCUAUGAUUAUCAAAAGAAUCAAACCAAAAGAUGGGCACCUUAUAUUCACAUGAAUCUUAAAAAUUGAGGAGAUUACAUAGAGGAAUAAGAAAUUCGUACAUUCAAACGUUAAUUGUUACGUAUAAAUGAUGACAAUGGUAUCCAUCGUUUUCCACCUGUUUACGAAGCCUCUAUGUAUCACUGAGCAAAGAGAGCGAAGAAGGAGAAUAUAGAAGUCAACGCAACCGCAAUCGAUCCCGGAAAAGCCCCGGUGGAUCCACUUUCCAUUGCAGGCGCUGGGCUCGGAGCCUCUUGUGCGGUAACUACAGCAAAAGCUAUUGUAAGAAACAUUAGAAGUGCUUUCACUAGAAGCGCGAGAGAAGCCAUUACGGAGAGAGGAGAGACGGAGGUGUGCACGUAGAAAUAUGAGUUGCUGAAGAAGAAGAAGCUAUGUUUGGGUCAUUUUCUUAUUAUGAGUGAUGGUGCAGAGAAGUGAAUUCAGAGAAAAUGUUGCGGAAUAGCCAUUGAGAAAAGUACAGCUUCCCCAGCGUUUGAAUCCCUGCUUUUGUGGAACGCUCGAUCGGGGCGCUGCAGUGGGAAUUUAGCCAUUGAAAUGUUAAAUGCGUGUGCGUCAAUUAUAGAAUAUUGACGUACUAAACUAAUAAUAAAACUCUCAAAAUAACUCUCACAUAUAAAACUUUACGACUCAACACACCUCUUACACAUCCUCACUCUACUACACUAUACCUCACCACAUCACACUACACUUCCUCACACAUCCCACUCACACCACUCACACCUUGCUUCACUACUUCAUCUCACUCUUCACUCUCACAUACACACCUUGGUGUGGAGGCCUCACACCUAUUUAUAGGUCUCCAACCUAUCUACAUAAGCACUCUAGAAUAUUCUAGAGUAUUUGCUUCGAGAACUCACUAAAGUACUCUAUUAAUAAGUAGAGAGUACUAUAUUCCUAGAGUUUUCUAGAGUGCUUCAUUAGCUAGUAGAGAUUUGGAAAGGAAUAAAGCAUUCUGGAAUGUUCUAUUAAAGAGAGAGAGAGUUGCCUCUUUCAUCAAUUAAUGCAAGUGAACAAAAAAAAUGCACCAUGGUAGAAUCUCAAAAACACGAAUUAUUUCAGUAAAAAAUUGGUUUAUAUGAAUUGUGAAAUGAUAAGCUCCAUCUCAGAAACAUAAUAAUUAUUUUAGAUUUGGCUUCUAUGCAAGGAAAAUCGUUACGCUUUUUUUUUUGUUUGCUGAAACAAUAUUUGCAGUGAACCACAGAAAUUGCUACUUGGUUAAAUGGAUCGAAUCGAGAGAAACUUAAAAGUUAACACUAGCAUUAUGCAUUUGGUAAAAUAAUAAAAGAUGUUGUUUUGAGUAACAAAAUUGUACAUAUUUGGAAUGUCUCACUAUCACACUCUCACUACACAAACAAAUUAAUACUAAUGACCGUCCCUAGAACAAGUGGCAAAGGAUUUGGUGGUUGGUACUCGAGAUCCAAGUUUAUUUCUAAAUGAAAUAAAUGAAGCGGGUAGCGUGCUAUCUAUUUCUCAAAAAAAAAAAAAAAAAAACUUUAAAUACGGUACCUUUUCUAUUUUGAAAUGAGCAAUGCUAGUUGUACAAUCGAAAAUUGAUUAUAUUUUUACAACUUUAUUAUUCAAUAGUCUAUAUUUCUUUACUAGUCUUAUUCUCUUCUUGUUUUUAUUACUAAUAUCCAAAAAUAAUUUUGUAAAUUCUAUUCUAUCUCCCAUUUUGGAUUGUGAACUUAGCAUUCUUUUUUGAAAUAAAUCACCACAAAACUCGCUGUUAUGCUAAAUGGAAAUCAAUAUUAUUAAAACUGAUUUUAAUUAAUGUGUGAAUCUCUACGAAUUGAGAAAGUAUGCUAAUGCGUAGAGUAAAUAUAAGAGAGACAAAAUUAUUAUAAUAAAUUGGUAAAGAUCCAUAAAACAAUGAUGCUAAAAAAAAUAUUAGCAAAUUAUUAUUUGCCGAAAUAUAACUUUAGCACGCGUCAUUUGGCACCAUUUAUUAACACACUCAUACAUAUAGCACGUGUCGAUAGUGCAAAAACCAUAGUUUCUAACCAAGAUGCCUAUUUGGCCCACACGUGUAUCUUCACACAUAUGUACGAUUAUAUAAUAAUAAUUAAGCAGUGUGACGCACAUAGAGAUGUCAACAGGUCGGAUUCGGGACGGAUUUUUAAAAAUCCGAACCCAAACCCGACUCCAAACCCGAGAUUCGAUUCCGAAUCCGAACAUGACGGAUUUUAAAAAUUCAUACCCAAACCCGAACCUGACCAAAAAUCCGAAACCCGAAUCCGAACCCGAAUCCGAACCCGAAAAUUUGAAUCCGAAACAUUUAUUUCUUUUUUCAAUAUUUCAAAAUAUAUUAUAUUAAAUAUAAAUUUUUAAAAUACAAAUUCAAAUAUAACAUCAAAUUUUUAUAUAUAUAUUAUAUAUAAUACAAAAUAAAUUUGGGUUCGAGUCGGGUUCGAGUUCGGGUUCAGAUAGGGUCCAAUCAAAAUUCAUAUCCGAAUUCAUAUCCGUUGGGUUUCUAUUUUUUACAUCCAUAUCUGAAUCCAUAUCCAUAUCCAUCGGAUAUAUCCGUUUUAUUCGGGUUCGGAUUCGGAUAAAAUUUCGGAUAUCCACGUACCAGUUUUUAAAAGGUGAUCAAUUGUUUAUUUGGAGUUCAUGUAUGAGUAUAUAAUAAUUAAGCAGUGUGACGCACAUGUACCAAUUUUUAAAUGGUGAUCAAUUGUUUAUUUGGAGUUCAUAGCAAAGAUGAACGUGCACAUGGUCACAUGUCACACAUUUUGCAUAAUGUGCAAAACGAUUACUCAAAGUAGAGAAAGUUUAUUGCAAAAAAAAGGUAACUCACCAAAUAUUUACCUACAUUCAUAAUAUACGGAGAACAAUUCAGUUACAUAGGCAAAGGAGAACCAAACAUGCUCCAAAUGGUAGUCCCAUCCAAGUGCAUCGAACCAAAUGUGCGACUGUCCAAGUGCAUUGAACCAAAUAGAAUUGCUACUUUCGCUUUAAAAUAGUGAAUAAUAAAAGGGCUAAGUUAGGAAGCACAACCCACAUUUCUUGUGGUAAAAAUAAUCAUUGAAAAAUGCCAUUUUAAAAAAAAUUAACAAUUAGAUAACAAAAGUGUCCUACUCGUCAUAUUUUAAUCACAACAACAGCAUACCUAUAAUUAUUUAAAUUCGAGAAAAUUUACCACAACACAAGGUGCAUUCAUAUGUGAGUGAUAUGCAAUGUAUAAAGAACCAAGUUUUAUAUUAAUGUUUGAAUAUUCAAUGCCUAAACAUCAAAUAAUUUAAAAAACUUAUCAUAUUAAAAAGAGCAGUAGUCCGAUGUUUACAUAUAUUUUUAGAUUAGAUAUAUAAAGUAUAUUUUUAAAAAAUUAAUAUUAACAAAUAACAGUGUACACUGUACUGUUCGNAAAAAAGUAGUAGUCCGAUGUUUACAUAUAUUUUUAGAUUAGAUAUAUAAAGUAUAUUUUUAAAAAAUUAAUAUUAACAAAUAACAGUGUACACUGUACUGUUCGUUAGCACGCAUCAAUUUUUACUAAAUAAAGAAGUUAUACCAUUGCCAUACCAUAACUACUCCCGAGGAGCAGUUAAUUAAAACCCGGUUGAUACUUGAUACAGAGCUUACGAAGCGAAUCAGGAUCUUAUUAUUAAAACAGGAAAAAAAAAAAAUUAAAAAGAAAUCGAACCGGCGGCGAGUACCAACCUCGGAGUUCGAGCCAUGGACGACUACGCCGCCGCCGCGGCGAGCAGCAGCGGAAGCGGCGGCGCAGGAGGAGGAGGAGAAGGGCGCCGGCGCAGCUACUGGCGGUGGAGCAAGGCGGACCUGUUCCCGGAGCCGUCGUUCCGGAGCUGGGGCGCGUACGGCGCGGCGGUAUCGGCGACGGCGCCGAGGCUCCGGGAGCGGCUCCUCCACCGGUCGACGUCGGCGGAGGAGCUGGUGGUCCUCCGGCGCGAGAGCGAGCACCCGCUGCGGCGCUGCCUGUCGUGGCUGGACCUGGCCCUGCUGGGCUUCGGCUCCGUGGUGGGCUCCGGCAUCUUCGUGCUGACGGGCCUCGAGGCCCGUGAGGCCGCCGGCCCCGCCAUCCCGCUGUCCUACGCCGCGGCGGGGCUGUCCGCGCUGCUCUCGUCCUUCUGCUACGCGGAGUUCGCGGCGGAGGUGCCGUCGGCGGGGGGGUCCUUCUCCUACCUCCGCAUCGAGCUGGGCGAGUCCGUCGCCUUCCUCGCCGCCGCCAACAUCCUCCUCGAGGCGCUCGUGGGCGCCGCCGGCCUCGCGCGCUCCUGGACCUCCUACUUCGCCGCCCUCAUCGGCCGCGACCCGGACUCCCUCCGCAUCCACGCCCCGGCCCUCGCCGCCGGGUUCGACCGCCUCGACCCCAUCGCCGUCGUCGUCCUCGCCGCCACCUCCUCCCUCGCCGCCGCCGGCGCCCGCCUCACCUCCUCCCUCAACGCCGCCGCCUCCGUCCUCGGCCUCGCCGUCAUCGGCUUCGUCCUCGCCGCGGGGUUCGCGCGCGCCGACCCGGCCAACCUCUCCCCCUUCCUGCCCUUCGGCGCCCAGGGCGUGUUCCGCGCCGCCGCUGUGGUGUUCUGGUCCUACACCGGCUUCGACAUGGUGGCCACCAUGGCCGAGGAGACCCGCGACCCCGCGCGCGACAUCCCGCUCGGCCUCGUGGCCUCCAUGUCGGCCAUCACCGCCGUCUACUGCGCCAUGUCCCUGGCCCUCGUCAUGCUGCAGCGCUACGACCGGCUCGACCCCGACGCCGCCUACGCCGUGGCCUUCGCGAGCGUGGGCAUGGGCUGGGCCCGGUACGUGGUCGCCGCGGGCGCCCUCAAGGGCAUGACGACCGGCCUCCUCGUGGGCGCCCUCGGGCAGGCCCGCUACACCACCCAGAUCGCCCGCGCCCACAUGAUCCCCCCCUUCUUCGCCCUCGUCCACCCCAGGACCCGCACCCCCGUCCACGCCACCAUCCUCGUCACCGCCUGCAGCGCCGGCGUCGCCUUCUUCUCCAGCCUCGACGUCCUGGCCAGCGUCUCCUCCAUCAGCACCCUCUUCAUCUUCAUGCUCCUCGCCCUCGCCCUCCUCGUCCGCCGCUACUACGUCAGGGACGCCACCCCCGCCCCGGCCCUCCGCAAGCUCUCGCUCCUCCUCGCCCUCAUCGUCGGCUCCUCGGUCGCGCUCUCCGCCUACUGGAAUUCGUCCCACUCGGAUCGCUGGGCCGGCUACGCGGUGCUCGUCCCGCUCUGGCUCGCCAGCACGCUCGCCCUCGCGGUGCUCGUGCCGCAGCAGCGGGCGCCCAAGGUGUGGGGCGUGCCGCUCGUGCCGUGGCUGCCGUCCCUCUCCAUAGCGAUGAACCUCUUCUUGAUGGGCUCGCUUGGCUACGCAGCCUACAUUCGGUUCGCCAUUUGCACGGCGGUGAUGGUGGUUUACUACGGGCUAUUUGCGCUCCACGCGACCUACGACAUGGCGCAUCAGGUGGACAAGUUUGCGGAGUCCAAGGACGACGAGGGAGUAGGAGAUGGGGAUCCGGACGUUCUGCCGAGGAACUAGUUACUAGUAGUCAUUGUGGGGAAAUAACUUCUUCUCAGUUACCGCCCACCAUUUUCAUCUGCGUCUGUCUUAUUUUGAAGUGUCAAUUGUGUUAUUAUACUACGCUGUGAUGAUUUAUUGUCGAAAAAUUGAUUAUUCGAAAUAGAAAAUUCUUGUCAUUGUUCUUGAAGAAGAGUACUCUGAUCCUAAUUUGGACUAAUAAAUACUGAAUUAACAGUUGCCUAAGGUUAUUUUUUGUGCGCCCAAGCGAGUACAGAAAAGGUCGGAUCCGUGGUGCGUUCUGUGGUCUGUUUUCCCAAUGAUUAUAAUUGCCUAGAAGAUCUGCUCUAUGUUUUACUUCCUAUCAUAUUAUUCUCAUUAUCUUCUUAUGCAUUCUUGUAUUAAUUUCUAGCCGCAAAUAAAAGGCUUCUAGCUCCUGGACGGCUUAAGAUUUAUUCCUUUUUGAUUUGAAAAUAAUUAAUUAAUCAACUAUUAAGACAAUUGCAGACGUAAGAUGAGACGAGAGAAAGGAAAUUAUGCUUUCGGGAGAUGAGCUCAUGCUGUUGAAGUUUGCUGAUGUACCCGUCUUUGGCACCAUGGUGCUAACGAGGGGAGUUAAAGAGUAUAUAGAAUGAGGGAGGGCUCAAUAAUUAAGUGUGGAAAUCCAAAUUUGAAAUAGUCACUUUCUUAAACUUACUUUCGGGAGAUGCUUUAUGUCUAUACUUGAGCAAUUUUCCUUCUCACACGCUCGCAAAACUUUCAAAUACUAUUCACUUUUGAGACGAGAUCUUCCGUCUACUAUCCUCUUAUUCCUUGUUUCAUCUCUGUAUUUUCAAAGGAGAAAAGAUGCCUCUCAUCUUCAUCCGAAAAGUCGUAAAUGCAUCUUCCGUCCUUCUGUUGCUUUCAUUUGAAUAGUAUACCUCUCAUCUUCAGCUGAAAAGUCGUAACUGUAUCUUCUCUCCUGUUGCUUUCAUUUGAUAAUAAUACAAAGGGAUGGUGGUGCGCCUACAGUCUCAUUUCUUUGACAACAAUUGUCAAAGCCGGAGAUCUUUCCUUCAUUUUUUUAAAAAUUCAUAUAUGAGGGCGAAGAAGAAAAGUUAUCCUAGCGUGCAUCGGCUUCUUCAUUCAAAUUAGUUGUGCGGCUGAGAUUGAGCCUUUUCAGGAAAAAGUUUGCAGCAGUGAUGAUUGGCUGGGAAUGAGCAUUCACUUUUAUUUUGUUAGUUCACUCUUCACCUGAGCAAGAUUUUAAUAAGAAUAAGCUGCUCUGUGAUCAUUGGAUGUUAUUUAAUCCUUUCGGGAGGCUCUCGACUAGUCUUGCCAUUGUUUCUCCUCCUAAUGUAGUGACAUAACCUAAUAUCAAGGAGCUAACUAAUGCUAAAUUCAACUGCAUCAGUUAUUAUACGGUGAAAGAGCUACAAAGGCUUAUUUUAAUGCGUAACAUUUAUGGAGGUUGAUUCUUUAUUUAGCCAUCAAAAUAUAUGUUGAAAGGCAUAAUUCUACAAUCAAAAGAGAGAGAUGUCUAAGAAUUGACUGAAAUAGACGAAGAAUCUCACUAGAAUGCUGAAAAAUCUGAGAGAAAGAACUGAGUCAUGUAUUUGACAGAUUCAUACUUCAAGUUGAAAUGAAAAUACAGCUUAAUAGUCAUCUCUUCAUCAAUUGCUCACUAUCUUUAUGGAAAGCAGCGAAAUAAAAAGACAUUUUGUUUAUGGAUUAUCUUUGAACUAAGCCGUGAAAUAAAACGAAAAGGACGUAAAUAUGCAGUGUUUCAGAGCUCUGCUGAUGCUUUCUCCAUGUCCCCCUUCUUCUCUGCUUGCUUUGUUAACGCCUCAUCAGGGUGUGCAUGGGCCAUAUCAUAAGUUGCAUGGACUCCGAAGAACACAUAGUAGAUCAUCAUUAUUCCCGUGCAGAGACCGAACCUUAUGAAUGCCUGAGAUCCUAAAGAACCCAUGAGGAACAAAUUCGUCGCAAUUGACAGGGACGGUAACCAAGGAACUAAUGGCACUCCCCACACUUUUGGUUUCUGGCACUGCGGCACAAACAAUUGAAUCCCAAGUGUUCCGAGUAUCCAAAGAGGGAUAGUUACCAAGUACCCGAUCCACCCGUGUGGUCUUAAUCCCCAAUAAGCCGAAGUCGCCAUUGAAGAAGCAAUAAUUAUCAGCAGGCAGAUAACCAGCUUUAUCAGAUGAAGGCGAGAGGAGACCCCUCGCGCAUAGUAUCUCCUCACGAGAAGCGCGGUGGCCAUCAUCAUAAAGAUGAAGAGUGUGCUUAUGGAGAGAAGGCUCGCCAAUACGUCGAGGCUUGAGAAAAGGGCAAUACAUGCACUCGCGACGGUAAUAAGAAGAGUGGCAUAAAUAGGCGUUCCGGUUUUCGGGUGGACGAGAGCAAACAAUGGUGGUAUGAUAUGGCUUCUAGCUAUGUGAGUUGUGUACCUAGCUUGCCCCAGGGCUCCGACGAGAAGUACGGUGGUCAUCCCCUUGAGAGCACCAAGCGCGACGAGGUACUGCGCCCACUUCAUGCCCACACUCUUAAAGGCCACAGAGUAAGCUGCGUUUGGAUCGAUGUCGGUAUAUUUCUGCAUCAUGCUUAGUGCAAGGGCCAUGAGGCAAUAUAUUGCCGUAAUUAUCGACAUGGACCCGAGAAGUCCUAAUGGUAUGUCUUUCGAAGGAUUUCUUGUUUCUUCGGCCAUGGUGGCGAUGUUAUCGAAUCCACCAUAAGCGAAGUAGACAAUUGCAGCUGCACGGAAAACACCCUGGACGCCGAAAGGGAGAAAGGGUUUGAGAUUGCUAGUCUUGGCAUGGGCGAAUCCGGCGACGAUAACAAACGCUAUGACCAAGGAGUGGACUGCCGACGCGAUCCAAUUGAAAUAAGAGGUCUUCUUAGUGCUUAUCAUGGCCAUCGUCGAAGUGAUAAUGAGGAUCGCCACUGCGAGGGGGUCUAAGAGAUUGAAGUCCUUGGCGAGGUUCGUGUGGAUUACUAGAGAAUUCGCGGGUAAAUUUAGUAGUGUGGUGAAGUACGAGGUCCAAGACCUUGCCACCGCCGCGGUGCCGAUAAUGCUCUCGAGAAUCAAGUUGGCCGCUGCUAUGAACGCCGCAAAGUCCCCCAGUUCUACUCUCAAAUAUGCGAAUGAGCCCCCUGCCACCGGGAUUUCGACCGCAAACUCGGUGUAGCAGAAGACCGAGAGCAUGGCGGAGAUACCCGACGCGACGUACGAGAGAACUAUGGCCGGUCCGGCAUGGUCGUGGGCUUCUUGUCCUGUCAAGACGAAGAUUCCUGCCCCGAUGACCGAGCCGAACCCGAACCAUGUCAGGUCCCACCAGUUGAGGCAGCGCUUCAUCUCGUUCUCGCUCUGCUCCCUCAGCUUCUUGAGCUCCGUUCCCUCAUCGGACCGGCCGACGAGCCGGUCCAGGAUCCGGUGGCCGGUCUGGCGGAGGGCGGUCCGGUAAUUCGACCAGCUUUCGAAGGACUUCUCCGGGAAGAAGUCCUCUUUCCUACAUCUCCAGUAACUCCUCUGUUCGCAUCCAUCAGCAGCAGCCGCUCCUUCCAUUUUAUGCUUCUAGCAGUAGAGAAGUUGCUUCCGAGCAUUCAAUAAAUAAGCCUGUGGGUGAUAUAAAGAUAGGAAGCUUUUGAAUGAUUUGGAGGUCAGCCUUGGAAACAUAUGCAACCAUUCGAAGAAAACGUUGCCUAUGCUUUCAAAUAAUGAUUGUGAAAGGUUUGGAAUCCAUGACAUUUUGGUGGUUGGUUCCAUACUCUUUGAUGAAGGCUUUUUGUCUCUAUGUCAUAGAUCUUUAUCUCCUCUUUUUUUUUAUGUCGUUGCGGUUGCAGGCCUACGGAAUCUUGCUGAAACUAGGAGACACAGCUGCCCCCUCCAUGUUCCUCCAUAUCCCAUGUGUUUUUUUUUUUUUUUUUUUUUUUUUUUGAGAGAUAGAUAUCACUCUAUCCGCUUCGUUUAUUUUAUUUCGAAAUAAACUUAGCUAUAAGUGUGAUUCAACUAUAAUUCAAACUUGGGUCUCGAGUAUCAACCAAUAAGUUCUUUUGCCACUUGCUUUAGUGACGGCCGGUUGUGUUAAUUUAUUAGUUUCAAGUAAUGUGAACAGGUGAAUCUUAAUCAUUCAGGGCAAAGUACUACUUAUUUAAUAAGACAUUUAUGGAACUUGACUGAUAAUUAUACUUAAUCAUCUUGGAAUUUAUUUGAUUAUUGAAGUUCAUCUAAGUACUCAGAAAACUUAAAUUCUAUUAGCAAUCCUCUUUCCUUUGUUUUUUGUUAAAUGAUCCAGUUUGUGGUGCUUAAUUUGUUUCUCAGUUCAUGAUAGAAUAAGAAAUAUUGUGCCCUGAAGAUACGCCCAUAAGUUGACCAACUUGCAGAUAAGGCCACCAAUUUUUUGGAUUAGAACAUCAACCUGCACAAACUUGUCGUCAUUCUCUUGCCAAGACACCCUUUUUUCAGAAAAAUUUUCCGAAGACACCCUCUUCAUCAAUUACAAAUUUAUUUUUCUCUAAACUUCAGGGACUUGGUCAAAAUAACUUAAAACAUUUAAUUACAUUAUCUUUAAUGCUACACUUCCUUGAAAAUAUCACCUCACAUGAUGCUUUUAUUUAUUUAUUUUUCUGACAUAAUGUUAGGUUUGCUACUUAAAUUAAAGGGAAAACUUCAAAAAACCCCCCUGUGGUUUCGUGCAUUCUCACUUUGCUACCCUGUGGUUUAAAACGUAUCAAUUUACCCCCCUGUGGUUUCAUUUUUAUUUUUUCGGAAGCUUUUUCGUUAAUAUUUCGUUAAAUUAUAUACAAAAAACUUCAGAUAACCAUCUAUAUUUAUCGAAUAGUCACUUUAGUAUCCCUUAAUUUUAACUUUGUCACUGAUUUUAAAAAAUAAUAAUAAUAAAAUUGAUAACAAAAAGAUAAAAACAAAACCACAGGGGGGCAAAUUGAUACGUUUUAAACCACAGGGUAGCAAAGUGAGAAUGCACGAAACCACAGGGGGGGUUUUUGAAGUUUUUCCUAAAUUAAAUGACUAAUUUAUCUCGGAGUUAAAAGUUGUUAAAUCAGUGAAGUCAUUGUUAUUCAAUCAAAGUGUAAGAGGCUAUGAUAGACUUAUUACGAAGCCCGACCAAUCAAGUUAAUUUAGAUAGAAAAAAUUGGGAAUUUCUCCCAUUUAUUGAUAACUUUGUUAAAUUUAAUAAUUUUAAUCAAUUUUAGCAAUGAAAAACAAGAUAAUGUAUAGUUAAUAAAUUAUAGAACCAUUUGAAUUUGAUAAAAUUUUUAACAAAGCUAAGUAUUAAAAACUCACAUUGAAAAGUUUAGCAGCUGUGGAAACUACCAAGCUGGAGUACGACAGGGUACGUUCACAUAUUAAAGUGAAGUAUGGUACUUUUUUUUUUUUUUUAAUUUAAAGUCUAUUGAUGUUUCAAAAGUAUCUUUUCGGGAGUCCUAGAGAGGAAGUUGCGAUUUGGGUUGAUGUAUAGGGGCCUCAAUGAGGAAAAAAAAAAAAAAAAAGGGUAAAUUGCACUACAAGUACUGAACUCUGUGAACUUUUAGUCUGGUCUUAUUUUAGUCCUCAAACUAUUCAUUUAAAUUAGACAUUCGAGUCCUCCAAACUUUUGGAUUGUUUAGCUAAAUCCCUAUGGCUUCGUUUGGUUCGGGUAUAAAUAAAAACUAUUUAUUUCAGAGAUAGGUAUAAGUCUAAAUAUAAGCGAGAAUUACACCAAUUUUAUAUUUAGAUAAAAAUUAAAUUGUUCUCGAGAAUAGAAAAAUUAGUGUUUGGAUAUAUAAAAUGGAACAAGAAGAAUAAUAGAUAGUUAUAAAUAGAAAAUAAUAAUAUUAUACCUCUCAUUAUAUUUAAAUUUAAAUUUUUAAAUUUUAUAUUUAUAAUUUAAAAUUUAAAAUUUUAACUUUUAAAUUUUAAAANAAAUUUAAAAUUUUAAAAUAUUAAAUUUAAAAUUUAAAAUUUUAAAAUAUUAAAUUUAAAAUUUAAAAUUUUAAAAUAUUAAAUUUAAAAUUUAAAAUUUUAAAAUAUUAAAUUUAAAAUUUAAAAUUUUAAAAUAUUAAAUUUAAAAUUUAAAAUUUUAAAAUAUUAAAUUUAAAAAUUUAAAUUAUAAUUUAUAACAAAAAUCUCUCUUUCUCUCCCCCUCCCCCUCUCUCUCUCUCUCUCUCUCUCUCUCUCUCUCUCUCUCUCUCUCUCUCUCUCUGUAGCAGCGGGGGUGGAUGGAAACAAGCUUGGUGGGAACAAGCUUGUUUCCAUCCUGGGUGGGAACUAUUAUGUUCCCAAUCCAAAAACUAUCUAUAGAUCGAAAAGCUACAAUUUCAUGGAUAGUAGGAUUCAAAUGCCAAAAAGGAGAUCAAUGAUUGGUGGAUACUUGGUAUACAAACGUUGAGAUAAACCGGGUGUAGCCAAUAUUUCUUCUUCCUAUAAAUAAGGAUUCUAGGAUAGGGAUUAAAUGAAAUAUUUAAAAAGUGUAAGGUCUCAAAUAUUAAACUCAAAAAAGUUUAAAGACUAAAAAUGACACUUAUACGAAAGUUCAGACACUAUUAACGGUGCAAUUUACUUUAACAAUGUAAUUAAAAGUUGAGAGAAAUGUUUUUGAAAUGGCCUACAAUUUAUCUGAAAAUCUAUAAAAACCUAUAAAAAUCGUAAGCGUGACAUUGAUCUCGACACCGAAGCCACAAGAACACUCAAAACUGUUACUCAGAAAAUCGCUCUCCAAAUUCGAGCUGCAAAAAUGAGCAGCGUUCGCCUCCCUCAACCCACUUCUCUUCCCACCCGAACCCCCGCCAUUGCUCCUCCCACCACCACCCAGCCGAGCUCUCCACCUCUCCUCCUCAAAACCCUAACCCAUGGCCAACGCCGAACCCACUGGGCCUCGACAAUCCGUCACCAUUUCCGUAACAAUGACCACCGCAGUUGCAUCGCUUCCUACCACCAUAUGCUCGACGAGAACAUCGCGCCGAACCCCAAAACCCUAGCCCUCGUUCUCAAAGCUUGCGCCUCUUUACGUGACCUCAGAGCCCUGAGACUCCUACACAACGACGCCCUGCGCUUUAAAUUCGACUCUAAUGCUCCUGUGGCCGCAGCGCUUCUUGAUGGGUACUUCGCGUGCGGGUCGCCUGCGUUGGCCCACCAACUGUUCGAUAGAAUGCUUCACAGAGAUGUCGUUUCUUGGACCGUCGUUAUUUCACGCAGUUACAAAGAUGGGCUCUUUGAUAAGGCGGUGCGCUGCUUUAAGGCAAUGGUGGAAGAGGGCGUGGCUCCGGAUGAGGUCGCGCUGAUUAGCAUAUUGUCGGCGGUGACUUGUUCGGGUUGGUUGUGUUACGGUCAUGAAGUCCAUGCGUAUUUGAUUCGGAAUUGCUUCAAAUAUGGCAAAGCUCUGGCCACUAACAUCGUAAACAUGUAUUGUAAGCUUGGGAGAAUCAAGUACGCCGACAGGAUUGUGCAAACGGAUGCUCGGGACGAUGUAGGAGCAUGGACUGCGCUCAUGGCGGGCUAUAUUGCGUCGAGCGACUUGUACCCUGCAUUGCUUGUAUAUCAGAAGAUGACAAAUUUGGGAAUUGAGCCUUCGGAAAAAACCAUCAGUUGUGCUCUAAGAGCUGUUUCCCAUCUGGGUUCCCUUUCUCUUGGGUGUCAGAUACAUGGUUUCGUAGUAAAGCAACAGUUUGAAUUAGACAAUCACAUAGUAAGCAGUUUAAUUGACAUGUACAGUGUGUGCGGGGCUCCCGCUCGGUUGUGUCGCCAGAUGUUCGAUGAAAUGCCCAUGAGAGAUGUGGUUUCAUGGACUACCAUGAUAUUGGCCUAUAGCCGGUCCGGAGAGGGACAUGCUGCAGUUCAAUUAUUCAAUGAAAUGCGAAUGUCCGGCGUUCCACCUGACUCUGUUGCAUUCAUUGCUGUUCUCUCCGGUUGUAGCUCAUCGGGCUUGCUAUGUGAAGGAUUUAUGCUCUUCAAUUCGAUGGUUCUAGAUUACGGAAUAGAACCGACGGAGGAACACUUUGCUUGCCUGAGAAACUUGAUAACCAAGGAUGGGAAGUUAAAAGAAGCAUAUGAAGCAAUUGAAGAAAUGGGCAUUAAAGAUAAGAGCAGCAUUUGGCAAGCUUUCUUAGGGGCUUGCAGACUUCAUGGAAAUGUGAGUUUUCGCGAAAUUGCUGAAAGAAAACUGCUGAAUAUGGAUCAAGGUGAUGGUUCAGCAUGAUGAUUUUUUUUAUUUUUACACGUGAAAAAAAAUUAUUUGCUAUAACUAUUUUUUCCUUUUAAAUGUGUAUAGAGAAAUACACGAACUUAACAAUUCAAUGUUGUCUUAUAACAUUCCAUCAGUGUUCAGAUGCAUGUGAUGGUAUUUUCUCCCUUCUCUUGCCUAAGUUUAAAACACUGAGAGCUGUGCUUUAUUGCUCAAGUUUCUACUUCUCUCUGGGCGUAAAAUAAGCAAUUAUUUCGCUACUGGAGAAUUUUAUUCCAUAAAAUUGAUAAUAUUUUAUGUGUCGGUCCUAUCUCUUUGCAUUGUCAAAGUUAGUGUUUUGUUUGGUCGCACGAAAAUUUUAAUUAGCAUAUCUUUUUGAUUUUAGUUAAAAAGCUUAAUAGUAUUUGAUAGACGAGGAAUACAAUAAAAUGUUUCGAGUUGAUAUUAUGUUUGAUUUUGAAGUCAUAUUUUCCGAAUAAGAUAGGUUAAUACGGCGUCCUAUCAAAUUAUAAAUAUUAUUAUUUUUUAAGAAAAAAAAUUAAACUCCUAAUUUUCAAUCAUAUAAAAAAAUAUAUAUAUACUGAAUAAAUUAUUAUUAAAUAUUUUAUUCUGAUAUCCAAUACAGCAUCUCAAUAAAACAGACCUAUAUAGCUUGUUAGACGACUAAUGACUAAGCCUCAACUAGUCCGACUCUUUUUUAGCAAGUUGGGUCCGGCUUAGGUCAGUUUGUCAGUUGUAACUACGUUUAAAUUUAAAAAUCUUAUUUAGCUCCACAUAGUUGCAUCUACCUAUAUGUUGUAGUUGGAUUAAAGAUCCAAUUGCAUCUCGAAAAAGUCACACAAGUGGAAAAGAGUAAUUUGGUAAGGGAUAGCUUUAUCUAUCUACUCAUAUAUUAAAAUUAAAAAGGAAUAAAUUUUUAAUUCUUAGGUAAUCUUAUCAUACCAUGUGUAAGAUAAUAAAAUUUGUUUCUCUCAAAAAAAAAAAAAAGAUAAUAAAAUUUGUGGAUGCAAUUUUCAACCAUGAGCAAUCAAGUAAAAAAGUUAUAGUUAUAUUACUGUUAAUUACAUACUGUCAAACGGAUUAGCUGUAAAUAUGCAAAGUAUAUGUCUAACUAUAUGCAUUUCUAAUAAUAUGAUAUUUAUAAUUUCAUGAGAUCAAGCAAUCUCUUCAAUCAAAACUUUCAACUGAGAAAGGACUCGAAGUAGACAAUAAAAUUGGCUUAUGAGAUAAUUUCAAGGGUUAAUAAAUUUAGGGUGCAUAAAUAAAACAAGUAUCCUAUCUUGUUUGUCCUCCCAUUGGAUUUAGGGCUAGCAAUCCAACUCGUUGUUCGCGAGACAGUUUGUGUUCGUGUGAAAUUUUUUUCAACUCUUUCCGAAAUCAAAAUAGACUCCUGCCGUACCCUGCCUCCCUAGUGGAGUCAUUUUAGCCCCUUUUUUUUAAGCUCACACUUCCUUUGAUGUUCUGAAUUGGGUAUCAAUUUUGCAUUCGGAAGAAAAUUAGGUUAUUUCCGGAAAUAAAAAAAAUAACGACCUGAACCUUCACUGGCUGACGUGCCUACUCCAAUGAGUCUAUCAUACGGUGGUGCAGAGUGCUUGCUGCAGCUCCAGCUACUAAAGCCAACCAAUAGAUCUGUUCAUACAACAAUAUUCCAACUCGUCUUCCUGCUCCAGUUUUUUCUUUAUGCCUUCGUUCAAUUUCCUGCGCAAGUGAGACAUUCUCCAGAAUACUUCUUCCUUUCACAAAGGCUCCUUGAUGUUGGGAUAUAAUCCUAGGUAGGAUGCUGCUCAAUCGAUCAUUGAAGAGGCGUGCAAUGACCUUGUAAAGAAAAUUACAUAGACUAAUUGGCCUAAAUUUCUUAAGCCUGGCAGGCCUUCUCAAUCUUCUAGAACACCUAUGGUCAUUGGGGAAGAUUCCGAUGAAUCAGAAGAUGAAGAGCUUUUGAUUUGUCAAGAUUCUACUCCAAUUUAAAGUGACUCAGAAGACGAGCCUCUUCUUUUAUUGACGUCAAGUCGAGCUGAUAUCCCCGCUCAUGAAGACGAGCAGGAGGAAUCCGAGAAAGAAAAUGACCCAAAUCACACUCCUUUACUUGAGAAUGGGGAGGUUAAUGAUGUGGCCCCUGCUUUCUCAAUCCAAUCUCGUCAAGGAAUCGAUAUACUCACUUGAUUGCUAUGCUGCUUUCUAUUCUUGCAAGUUAGGGACACGGAGAGGCAUCGCUCAUCCCUUAUCUAAUAAUAUUCACUGGACCAAUUCUCCGAAAGUUAAUAAUCGUAGAUUGAUCACUGAACCUCCCACUGAUGCCGGUUGAACUGCCAAAAACGUUGAAACACACUCGUGCUCGGCCUGCAGCAAAGUUCCGCAGGUUAACUUGGCAAUCUAGAUAUCGGCUAGGUGGGAGACGAGACGGCAGUGAUUGGUCUGUUAAAAAGUCGGGGCACCACAUGUUGGGAGGGAAGAGAACUCACAACAAACAAACAAACGAAUCUAAAAANAAAUUUUUAAAAUAAGAAUAGGGGUGGGAACAAUUAGUAAAAAUAAUUUAUUAUAAUAAAUUUAUAAAUUUGAUAAAAAUAAAUUUUUUUAAUAAAUUUAUAAAGUUUUUAAAAAUUCUACUUAUACUUAAAUUUAAGAAAAGUAAUUUAUUAUAAUAUUUAAAUAUAAUUUAUUAUAAAAUUUAUUAUAAUAUUUAAAUAUAAAUAAUAUGUAUUAAUAUAGUAAAAAUUAAUAAUUUUAUAAUAAAAAUAAUAUAUUAUAAUAUAUAAUAUAUAAUAUUUAUAUAAUUUGGUUUUAAUUUAAUUUAUAAUUUUAAUAAAGUUUGAAACUAAAUAUUGGAAUAGCACUAUUCCACCGAAAUGGUGGAACAGUAAAUAACAAGCUAUUCCAGAAUAGCUGGGAAUAGCAAGGUUUGAUCAGGAUAAAAUAUUUCGGCCAAAAAUUAUUCUAUUUGGUGGAAUAGCGCGCUUAUACCCCGAAUCAGAACCAAACGGGACCUUAAUAAAUAAUGUUCGAAAAGUAAUUGUGAGUUGUAGAUUCAUCUAUUAAAUAAAUAAAUUUAUUUGAAGAUGGAUGAAGUGAAUUAAUUAAAAUAAAUCUAUAUACCCAAACCACAAAAUACAGCAACAAGAUCAUGUAAAAUUUGCUCACCUAUUAUGUAGGUGAGUAGGUCUAUGAUUUGUAUUUUAAUCUUUAAAAAUCUAUAAUUUAUUCAUUUGUUGCAGUAAUUUUUCAAUGCUGGAGUUCAAAAGAGUUUGUUAAAUUAUAAAAUUAUAGUGUAAGAGCUAUGCAAGUGUAUAAAAUAUUUUUGUGGUUGCUGUGAAAAGUAAUUGUCAGUUGCUUGGUGUGCAAGAUUUUAAGACUUGAACUUAGGCAGUGGAUGACUUGGACUUCUUUUGUUUUUUCCUUGAAAACAAAAGACUACCAUCAUAUCUAAUAAUCGUACCAUAAAAUUUUCUCAAAAGCGAUCUUUCUUUAAUACCAAUAGUAGGGGACAAAAAUUUUAUGGACAGCGUGUCCAUAAAGAAUAAUUUGAGGAUGUACGGAUUGGCGCCGAUGGCACCCGAGCCACGCGGGGCUCAUCGGCCCUGCUGCUCUCCCUUUUGGGAUAGCGGUGGGACUGUUUUCGUGCACCCGAUGCAUCAUUUUUAUUCUAAAAUUUUAUUUUUUAUUUUUUAAUUAUAAUUUAAUAUAAUAGAGAUAUAUACUAUGAUUUUUAAAAAUAUGUGUAAAAGAAUUUUGAAUCCUGAAUUUUAAAUUCUUUUAUAUUUAUUUUUAAUAUAUAUAUAUAAUUGAGCUCCUCCUAUAUUUUUAAAAGUAUCAAGUAAUUGGUACUUGUAACUUUUUGGCAGUCAGACUAUAUAUAUAUAUAUAUAUAUAAUUUAAAAUUAAAAAUAAAAUUUUUAAAGUAAAAAAUGGUGCACCAGGUGCACCAAAAAAAUACUGUUGCUCUAGGCGCAUAGAAACUAAAUCAUCAUUAAAAUUGAUGCAGGCCUAGUAUAAUAAAAAGCACUAAGGGCUGUGCAAACCGAGCGAGCCGGCUCUGCGGUUCGACUCGAGUUUCGGCUCGAUAUUGUGCUCGCUCCGGGAGCUUCAGACUCGAAAUAAAAAGCCGAGCUUGGAACAAAAUAAAAGGCUCGAAAUUCAUUUCAAGCCGAGCUUGAGUAUUACUCGGCUCGUUCGAAUUAGGCUCGAAAAGCUCGAAAAUCUCGAAUAUAUAUAUAUAUAUAUAUAUAUAUAUAUAUAUAAUAAUAUAUAUAUAUAUAUAUAUAUAUAUAUAUAAUAUAUAUAUAUAUAUAGGCUGGGACUACUAUACUCUUAUGAGUAUAGACCCCUUUGUACUCAUAAAUUUUUAACCGUUGAUUGAUGGGAUGUGUGGUUAGGAUGAUGGUGGUCCCCACUUAGAAUGAUAGUGGUCCCCUAGGGUUGAGUGGGUAGUUGGUUAAAUAGUAUGAUCUAACGGAUGAAAAUGAUUAAUGGAAUAAAUCUAAGGGUCGAAAACUUAUGCCACUGUUUGGUUGGGGGUUAAGGGGUGGAAUAACCCCUUAACCCCCAAUUUAUACCCAAACACCACUCUUUUAGGGUGGGGUUAGUAAACCCCACCCCAAACCGGGUUAGCGGGGUUUACUAACCCCACUCUCCCUCCCAACUUUAACCCCGCACGCAUCCUGAGCCCUCACCUUUUUCUUCUUUAUCAAUCAUUAACCCCACUCCGCCACCCAACUUUAACCCCGUACGCAUCCUGAGCUCUCACUUUUUUCUUCUUUAUCAAUCAUUAUCUUCUUAUCCCACCUACUCCAAACAAACACUUUUUUUCACUAUCCUAGACUAACUCUAACCUCCAACCAAACACAAAAAAAUUUUAACACCAUUUUAAUCCUGAACUUAACCCUAUCCCUGGAAUAGUUUGUCACGCCCCAGGGGCCGAUUUUAAAAACCUUUUAAAAACAGAGUUGCGGAAAACGUGCCAUUUUUUUUUUUUCAACCUGGCCCACGCGACGUACAGACCCGCCACAAAUACAAAGUUCCUCUGUCCACUCGGACAGAGUCUCCUUUGUAUUUGCACGGCGUACCAGCUAUACAANCUGCGGGAGAGGAUGUUCCACUUCUCGCGCGAGGCCGUCGCGAGGCUGAAGGCGAGGGCGAACGAGGAGUGCGGGCGAGGCGACUUGUCGUCGUUCCAGUCGCUGACCGCGCUCCUUUGGCGCGCCGUCACGCGCGCGCGGGGCCUCGCGCCUGGGCAGGCGACGAGCUGCCGCGUGGCCAUCGAAAACCGAGCGCGGCUGCGGCCGCCGCUCGCGAAGGAGUACUUCGGGAACUCGAUAUACGUCGUCGCCGCGUCGGCCACGGCGGGCGAGCUCCUCGCGCAGGGAAUCGGGUGGGCCGCGGCGCUGGUGAACCGGGCCGUGGCGGAGCACACGGACACCGAGAUCAGGGCUAAGGUCUUGUUUAAACCAACCGAUCGAGUUGAAAUUUUAAUUUGCAUUUUAUCUUCGCGUAGAAAUUUUCUCUAGUAAAUACUAAUGUAGAAGAUCGAUUAUUAAGUUGCUGGAAAACGGUAACAGUAAUAUUUUUUGUACUUGGCAGUUGGGGGCAUGGAUGGCGCGGCCCUUUGUGUACACGCUCCGCGAGUUUGACGAGAACAGCGUGAUGGUGGGGAGCUCGCCGCGGUUCGACAUGUACGGGUGCGAGUUCGGGUGGGGGAGGGCGGUGGCGGCGCGGAGCGGCGGGGCGAACAAGUUCGACGGAAAAAUAUCGAUGUAUCCGGGUUGGGAGGGAGGGGGGAGCAUGGACGUGGAGCUGUGCUUGGUCCCGGAGAACAUGGCGGCGCUCGAGAGGGACGAGGAGUUCAUGGGCGCCGUGUCACCGCCCGUGGAGAUGGAGGUGCUGCUCGAGGGGAUUAAUUAACGGGAGAUGCAUGCUGACGAGAUUGAUCGAGCUGGGCAUUAGUAAUGCUGGAUCUACAGCCACCACUAGUGUUUUCUGUAAUAUUAAAAUUUCAAAAGAUUUAUAAUAAAUUUGAGGAGGGAGGAUGACGGUCUCUUCAUGAAGAAGUAAGUACGUUGUUAAUCUAAUGGUCCUUUUUGAAUUGUUGGCCAACUUUAAUCAGUCUGUUGUCUGCAUAGCUUGAAGAGUACUAGUCACUAGAAGAUUCUGAAUUGGAAUUAUGUCAGAUUGUAAUAUAUAAAAUUUUUAAUUUUCUCCGUACGUGCCGAGUUACUAACAUUAUUAAUUAUUAAAUUAAUUUCCUCCAUCUAAAUUAUUUGUCACGUGUCCGCGAACUUAUCUCCUUUGAUGCCAAUCUUUUGCAUCUAUUGUUUUUUUUAAUAUUUUAUUUAUUUUUAUUAUUUUAAAUUAAUACCAUUCCGUUAGGAAAAGUCCCACUUACUCACCAACCUCGCAACUACGGAGCCUUGACCUCGGACUAGAUCGUGCCAAGUGGACCGAACGUGUUGUAUUUUUUAUUUAUUUUUGUAAAACUGUUAGAACCCCCUCGCCUUUAAACUGUUUCAUUGAGUAUAUAAUUUAAAAUUUAAAAUUUNNNNNNNNNNNNNNNNNNNNNNNNNNNNNNNNNNNNNNNNNNNNNNNNNNNNNNNNNNNNNNNNNNNNNNNNNNNNNNNNNNNNNNNNNNNNNNNNNNNNGGAGGGGUCUGCAAGGACGGCGCAGCCCGGGCCUUCAACAAACCCGAGAGGGAGCAAGGAGAGAGAAAGGAUGGAGAAAGAAUGGAGAGUGUAGAGAGGAGAGCUCCGGCACCGGCGGCGUGCUCAGGUGGUCGGGAGCGCGCGCAGAGCGGUGAGCAGUGGAAUGUCGGGAGGCGGCUAAGGGCUAGCGGCAAGCUUAGGUUAGGGUUAGAUGGCUCCAAACCUACGAAAACAACUAUAUAGCGGGUUGCAACAAAGCAUGAAAGCCCUCAUAACAUCGGAAUUUCAAUCCGGUCCCUCACAUCUACGACUUAAAAGCAAUGAAUUGCCCCUCACAGCUGCGAUUCCCUUGCGAAACGGUACAUAAAAUAUCGCGACUUUUGCGAAAAUACCGUUUGCACCCGGGACCUUCCCGAUCAACGCGCGAUUCCGCCAGAUCUGUCAGUCAGAUCAGCCGAACGGCAUCACACCUGCGAUCAGCACGACAGACAACAAAGCUUGCGAUUUCGUUUCGUUUUGUCGACCACGAAUGACGACAAAAUCCAACUUCUAUCGUGAAUAGAAGGAAACACACACAUAAAACAUAGUAAACAUGUAUUUUUGAGAUUUUCUCGAAAAUCCGUUGUGUCAAAACUGAAAUCCGUCAGCGUCAUUGGUUCCAGAACAGCUGACUCCGGUUGAAACGACAUCAUUGGACUACUAUGAACAGAGUCCCGGUACGAGCCAGAAGCCAACCUCCCCGUGCUUCUCCCGGAAAAAUCAAGUUACUAUUUCACUUUUAGUGAAACUUGGAACAUCGCGUAGAAUUCCGUUUUUAACUCGUUUCACCCGAAACUUGACGAGUGCUUUUGUAAUUAAAUUACACACAAAAAUAUCGUAACUGAGAGUUUAGCUACACUGCUAAAAUCUCAGUGCUUACAUAGCUACUUUUUCUUAACCCGAACAAACGGGGGCUAUGAUAUAAAGGAGCCAAUACUCAUAAAAGUAUAGUAGGCGCGGACUCAUAUUAAUCUAUAUAUAUAUAUAUAUAUAAUAUUUAUAAAUAUAAUGUAUUUUAAUUAUAUAUAUAGGCUUUAAUUUAAUUUGGGCCAUUAUUCUUGACCCAUAAAAUAAACCCAACAAGUACAACCGUGCAAUUAAGCCCAAUUCUAAAUUUACGUAACACACUCUCUCUUUCAGAUUUUCACUGUUGCACAUAAUCCUAAAACAUGAUAACAUUCAAAUUACCCUUAUCUAGUCAGGAAGUCACCCUAGCUCACAUUUCUUAUAAUUAUUUUGUAUUUUGAACUAUUGGACAUGUUGCAUCAAAUUGUAGGUAAUGUUCUAUAAAAAUUAAACUAUUGAUUAUAUAAUGUCGAGAAUUUCAAUCUGCUCGUUUAGAGCUCGAGCUCGGCUCGACUCGAAAUUAGGCUCGCUCGAGCUCGCUCGAAUUAAUUUCAAGCCGAGCUUGAGCCUAGAAUAUUUAGACUCGAAAUUAAUUUCAGGCCGAAUUUGAGCUGACAUAAGCUCGCUCGAGCUCGGCUCGUUUCCACCCCUAAUAAAGACCUAACGUAAUCCUUACUUCAGUCAACAUAAAAAACAAAAGAAAAAUAGUUUUUUGACCAACAAUUUAUGAGCGGACUAGGUGCGUUGCAUAUUAUAAUAAAUUUUUAAAAAAUAAAAAACUGCAUAUGCUAAUCAAAGUUCUGGAUAGUUUAACACAUAAAUGUUAUAUAAAAGAAUAUUAUUUUGAAAAUUUUGUAGAACAAGAUGUUAUUCAAUUAUUAAUGAUGUAAAAAGUAUUUUUUAAAAAAAUCAUAUAAUAUAUUAUUAUUUUAUUAAAAUUUUAAAAUAAAUUUAUUUAAAAAUAUGAAUUACCAAAAAUUCGAAUAUGCGAGGUCAAGCAUCAAUUAUUAAUUUCAUUCUCAACUUCACUGGAGAUGUCGGCAGUGUAAUGUGUUGAACUAUAAAUACGAGGCUCAAGAAACAAGCAGAGAACAUGCUCGAAACCAACCCCGCUCGCUCAGGAAAUCGGUCGAACACCUCACGGGUGAGCGAAAGAUGCCUUAUUCACGGCCCUCCCCCACCGUUCAUACCAUCUCCACAUGCACCGUGAAACCCCCACCCCGUCCCCGCCGUAUAUGCCAUCUAACGCCGUGGGACAUCGCCAUGCUCUCCACCCACUACAUCCAAAAGGGCCUCCUCUUCGCCAAUCCCCCUUCCUCCUCCUCUCUCAACCCAAAACAACUCAUCGAGCAACUCAAAUCCUCCCUCUCCGUCGCUCUCCUCCAAUUCUACCAGCUCGCCGGCCGCCUCGUAACCGAGGAGGAUCGUGAUGCCGACGGCGAAGUCAAAAGCACGUCGGUGUACAUCGAUUGCAAUGGCCAGGGCGUGGAGUUCGUCCAUGCGGCCGCCGACAGAAUUAAAGUUGCUGAUGUGUUGGCAUUAUCAGGCGACCUGCCUAAGUUUCUGCAUGAUUUUUUCCAACUCGACGGGGCUGUCAACCACCACGGUCAUUUUAGCCCGCUGCUCAGCGUGCAGUUGACCGAGCUGGCGGAUGGCGUGUUCUUGGGAUGCUCGUUCAAUCACGUUGUCGGAGACGGCACGUCCUACUGGAAAUUCUUCAACGCCUGGGCCGAGAUCGCGCGAGCCGCCGACGGCGGCGGCGGCGGCCUCUCCCGCCCUCCGGUCCACGACCGCUGGUUCGUCGACGGCUACGGCGCCCCUCCUCUCAAGCUACCACUGACGGAUCCGAGCCGCUUCCUCGAACGGUUUGCUCCGCCGCCGCUGCGGGAGAGGAUGUUCCACUUCUCGCGCGAGGCCGUGGCGAGGCUGAAGGCGAGGGCGAACGAGGAGUGCGGGCGAGGCGACUUGUCGUCGUUCCAGUCGCUGAGCGCGCUCCUUUGGCGCGCCGUCACGCGCGCGCGGGGCCUCGCGCCGGGGCAGGCGACGAGCUGCCGCGUGGCCAUCGAAAACCGAGCGCGGCUGCGGCCGCCGCUCGCGAAGGAGUACUUCGGGAACUCGAUAUACGUCGUCGCCGCGUCGGCCACGGCGGGCGAGCUCCUCGCGCAGGGAAUCGGGUGGGCCGCGGCGCUGGUGAACCGGGCCGUGGCGGAGCACACGGACACCGAGAUCAGGGCUAAGGUCUUGUUUAAACCAACCGAUCGAGUUGAAAUUUUAAUUUGCAUUUUAUCUUCGCGUAGAAAUUUUCUCUAGUAAAUACUAAUGUAGAAGAUCGAUUAUUAAGUUGCUGGAAAACGGUAACAGUAAUAUUUUUUGUACUUGGCAGUUGGGGGCAUGGAUGGCGCGGCCCUUUGUGUUCACGCUCCGUGAGUUUUACGAGAACAGCGUGAUGGUGGGGAGCUCGCCGCGGUUCGACAUGUACGGGUGCGAGUUCGGGUGGGGGAGGGCGGUGGCGGCGCGGAGCGGCGGGGCGAACAAGUUCGACGGAAAAAUAUCGAUGNAUCAUUCUCGGUGGUGUUUUUCAUUGUUUAACGUUGAGUGGUGUUGAGUGGACCUUUAUAAUAUUUGAACAGAUGACUGGCAAGGUUCGUGUCAAUGAAUUCCUAAUCUACUAAUAUAGGUUCGAGGGUUCCAAUUGUAGAUUAAUAAAAUAUGCAGCUUGACUUCAAUGAUGAUCUUUUAACUUUCUUAGAUUCAUUUUAUGAAAAAAAAAGAGUUUUUUUAAUUAUAUCUCAAUAUAAAAAUAUAUCUCGUUAUGAUAGAUAUAUGGAUUUUUCAUACGCAUGUAGAAUAUGGAUGAUCUGGUUAUCUAUCCUUAGCGAAUGAUCAGUGAACUGGAUUGAUCGCUUUUGUAAGGUGGAUAACUACCUAACUUAUAUUCUAUAUGUGAUAUUAACCCUACAUAUUUAUCAUAAAUAAAAAAUAUAAAAUUUUUAUUAACGAGGAGUUUACGACUAAAAAUGACAUUAAAAUAUGGUAAUGUUUUUAUCUUUUAUUUUUGUGUUUGGAUUAAAGUUUGACAGAAAUAAGUUGCGGUUUUCACCUGGUCAGAGUAAUCAGCACUGAUCAUGAAAGGGUCUUAGCAGUUCGAUUGAUCUGUUGUCCUCUUUUCAACCUCGGUUGUUAGGUUUUUAUUUGGUAUUCUAAUUGUUGAAUGAAGAAGAACUGAUCAUGAGAAGGUCUUAGAAUUUCGAUACAUCUGUCGUCCAUUUUUUUUUUUUUCAAUCUCGGUUGUUAGACUUUUCAUGGUAUUCUAAUUGUUACAUGAAGAAGUAGGUCUUUGACAAUAGGAGAGAGGAGUUUAAAUAAUAUUAAGAAAACUUUAAAAUUAUAAUGUCCUUUGUCAUCGCCACCACCAUCUAGGUGGCAAUGAUUACGGGUCGAGUUAGAGCAGUCGUAGAGGGUAAUUAAUUAGGGGGACUCGUCGUGGAGGUAGGGGUGCCCCCCACUGUGCCGCGGGUACUUGAGGAGCAGGGAGAGGUCGCGACGGUACAUGAGGCCCUAGUUCGUGUCGAGGUGCAGGUGCGAGGGGGGAGGGACAACUUUAUAGUAUUGGUGGAGAAACUUUUGAAAGCACUAAAAUUUAUGCUUGUAAAAUAUAAAAAUAGUUGCGAAACGAGAAUAUAAAAAGUUUGUUAUUUGCAUACCAUUCAGUUGUAGCAAUUUUUACAAAGUUUUGCUCCAAAAUUGAUAGCUGAAAAUUUCAAACCUUAAAAUUUUCUUAAUCAAAUUAAGAGCUAUAUAUUAUAUUAUUUAAAAUAUUAGUAAGUUGUGCAGAUUAAAUUUAAAUUAUCAUGAUAAAUAUCAAGUUAGAAUUUAGUUAGAUUUUUUUUUGAAAAAAAAAUGUAACAUGCUAUCCGCUUCAUUUAAUAAAAGUAUGAACUAGUUAGGCUACAUUAAUCGGGCAACAAAACCUCACGAAGAGACAAAAAAGAGAGGGAGAGAGAGAAACAACAAAUGGCAGACCUCCAAAAAAAAAAAAAGAAGGAGAAAUCCAAAAACAAAAAUAAAUCUUAUUUGAGUAAGAUUAAUAUUUAAAUCUGUUAGAGAUAAAUUAAAAUUUAAAUAUUAAUUAGAGUAAAAAUUUAAUUAGACUUAUUUAGAUACCUUUUUAUAUAAGUUAUAAAUAUAGCAUAUGUGCUAGUACUUUGGUGGUGGUGGUAUGAAUUAGCACCCAUAUGGUAUGACCAAGGCGGUCAUGAUUUUGGAUGUACCUAGUACAUGGGUGCAAAAGGACGUGUGCGACUUUCUUAACCGCAGGUCAUUGAUACACCUUGUGCACGAGUGCACAGGAUGGGACAGAGGCCUUCUGAAUUUAUAGAAAACGAGAGAAGGGUGAGAGAGAUUCAAAAAGAGAACUCGGAUUGAAGUUGCUCUAUUGUAAAAAAGGAGUUAGAUGUAAUCUUUUUUUACUUAGUAAAUUUUAUUUUACUCACAUAUUUUUUUAUUUGAUUUUUUUCUUUUUUGUGGUUGUAUCAGUUUUCGCGAAUGAAACGAAUUUAUGAUAAAAACUCGAUUUAAUGCUUUCAUUAUAAAAUUCCAACAUUCGAUAUCGGAUCAACAACAAUUGGUAUAAGAGUGGGUUACGAAUUCUUAAAAUCUAAUACCAGAACGAAUGCUAAAUUUCCAACAUACAAAAUGUCACCUAUCUUUCUGUUACUGCAUAUCCCCUGAAAACACAACUGCAAGCAAAGUGGAAUGAGAGAUGCCUUAUUUCUAAGAGAGAGAAAUUAAUUCCUUGCGUACGCCCCAAACCCAAAAAAAAAAAAAAAAAAAUUGACAUAUAGAAUUUAGUCUUACUUUAAAAAAAUAUAUAUAUUUAUUAGAUAUUCUCUCUCAUUUCUUUGCUUGAAUACUAUGUGAACUUUAAUAUAUAUAUAUAUAUAUAUAUAUAUAUAUAUAUAGAGUGAGGCUACUAUGCUAUCGAAAGUACGGAGCCUUCCGUGCUUUCAGCUCAUUUUCGAUGUUGCGGCUUUCGAAUCGUCGAUCAGCUCCGUUAAACUUGAUCUAGAGUAUUUGAAAUACCUAGAAAAUAAAUUUUAUGAUUUUACGAUAUCAUUUACCUAGUGAACGAAGGGGCUCAAAUUCAACGGCUGAAAAUAAAAAUCUUAUAAAAUGUAAUAAUAUGACAUUAAAAUUUUAAAUCAAAGAUAUUGAUCUUGUUUUAUAUAGUAUAAAGAAUUUUCUAUCAAAAUUUCACGUGAUUUGGAUAUUUCUACACCGUUAAACUUGCAAACGGCUCACUACGGCCAUUGAAAUUUAUUGAUUUUGAGCCCAUUCGAUUAUUAGGCAAAUGAUAUCGAAAAAUAAUAAAAUUUAUUUUCUAGGUACUCCAAAUACUCUAGAUCAAGUUUAACGGAGCCGAUUGACGAUUCGAAAGUCGUAACAUCGUAACGAGCUGGAAGCACGGAAGGCUCCGUGCUUCCGAUAGCAUAGUAGUCUCACU